AUCUAUCCGGUCCUCUGGCAUUGGAUACAUCCACUCGAUGCCCCCGACUAAGAUUAGCCACCGAUGUAUCUAAUCUAUUCAUCCAAGCCUCCUGCUUCUCCAACCUAUCUCUCACAUCUCCAAACGCCCUCUCAAACCUCUGCACCAAAUCCUCUGAUGCAUUGCUAUUAUUGCCUUGUCGGCUUGAAUUUGAUUCUGCCAUUUCUGACAUCCUAACACUAAAGAUCUUUAUUUUACUGCCUCAUCAAAAGUCACUCGAAAACACACAAGGGGUUUUACCCUCUAUUAAGCUCACCUCUCUGCUUUUUACCACUUAAUUCUUUCAACAAUUGCUUCUAGGAACAAUCAAUGAACUCAAUCAAUCAAUCAAAUUGUGUAGAAUUCCCCAAACCGGAUGUGACUCAAUAAUUGUAACAAAGGACUCAAAGAAAACUUUUAAAGCUUGACUUGAAUUGAAAGAAUGGAAUGACUUAAUGUGUCCAAGUAAUUUAGAAACGAUAAUGAAUAAUAAAAGUUGGUAUUUGAUGGAUCAAUAAUAUUUAACAAGGUUUUGUACGGAUGAACAGUACCGUACAGAUGAACGGUAAUUUUUUUUAGAUCUGGAAAUCAAUAAAAAAACUAACGAAGAAAAUGAAAACUGAUUCGAACAAAAAUUGAGCCCAGAAAUGGAAUUUGAAAUUUUUUUAUGAAACUUUUGGAUCAAAGAUCAAGAAAACCUUCUGGAUACAAGAACACAAGGAAUUGAAAAAAAAUUAGAAAACAAAGGAUAUAACUUGAUUAAAUUGGAGCCAAAGCUUUGAUACCAACCGAUACGAACCCCGUAGCAAUGGAAACUACGAAACCCACAACGAGAUUGAUGCGGAACCCAAGAACGCCAAUACUAACCACGUUUUGGAUCUUGAACCCCAAGAAUUGAACCAAGAAACCCUAGAUUAGCGAAGAACCUAAAACCCCUUGAUUAAAAUUAAAAGAACCCACAAUCCGAUUGAUUAGAACGCCACAAGAAGUUGAAUUUUGAUAAGUUCCAAGAUUAUUCAAGAAGAACAAGAAAUUGAAAGAACAAUUCUCUCUCUAUAAUAUUAAGAAAAAGUUAAAAGUUGUUACAAUGAAAAGUAUUCUCGUAUUUAUACUAAGGAGUAAAAACGUCCAAAAUCAUGGUAAUAAUUUGAUUUCAUAAGAAUUCUAUCGAAACUAGGAAAUUCGGCCAAAAUUAGAAAAUUCGCCAAUUUUUUUGGCUUGUGCGGCCGCAUAGUGUAAUUCCAUGCGGUCGCAUGGUUCAACAAGAAAUGCAAUAUUUGUUUUCGGUAUGCCACUGUGUGGCUGCAUGAUGUUUUGCCUGUGCAGCCGCAAAGGCUUGUUUUCAGCCUCCGAUUUUGUCGCUUGAUAACAAAUUGAUCCAAGUUGAUUCGGCCUUCGACCCGAACAUGAAAGUUGCUCCAUUUUGAGUCUCGAACAUGGUUCCAUCAAUGGUUUCUUGAACGAGAAAUCCCAUCGCUUGUUUCACUUGCUUUGUCCUUGAUCGCGUCAUUGGUCCGCCAUCGACUAUCAGCGGGUCUCAUCUCACACUUGCCUUCGUCGGGCUUGACUCCUGGAUCAUAUCACUUACGGCAUGGACACUAUGGUGUACACUUUAGUUUACACUUUCCCAAGGUUCAUUACCCUAUUGGACAGUAAAUAUUUCAAACAAUUUUCCAUUCAAUUGAUAAUUGACAACAAUCGGUAAGAACCUUGCGACAUUUACACUGUGGUGUACACUUUAGUUUACACUUUGCCACGUGACACUGCCAUACUGGACUGUUUAAAUUUCAAAAAGUUUUCUCAUCUAAUUGACACUUCACAAUAAAGUGAGUGUCAAACAACGUUUCAAAAAUCAGUGUACAAAUAGCAAAGUUCAAUCGGUAAGAACUUUGCUACAUGUACACUAUGGUGUAAACUUUAGUUUACACUUUGCCACGUAACAUUACCCUGUCGGACAUUUUAAAUUUCAAACAGUUUUCUCAUCUAAUUGACACCUGACAACAAAGCAAGUGUCAAACAACGUGUCAAAAAUCAGUGUAUAAAUAGCAAAGUUCAAUCAGCAAGAAUCUUACCACAUGUACACUAUGGCAUACACUUUAGUUUACACUUUGCCAGGUGUCAUCACCCUGUUGGAUAGUUUAAAUUUCAAAAAAUUUUCCCAUCCAAUUGACACUUGACAACAAUCCAAAUGUCAAACAACAUUUCAAAAAUUAGUGUACAAAUAACAAAGUUCAUUCGGUAAAAACCUUGCUACAUGUACACUAUGGUGUACACUAUAGUCUACACUUUGCUUCGUGACUUUACUCUAUUGGACAAUUUAAAUUUCAAUCAAUUUUCCAUCCAAUAGACCCUUGAGAACAAUAAAGGCGUCAAAUAACUUGUCAAAAAUCUGUGUACGAAUAGCAAAGUUCAAUCGGUAAAGACCUUGCUACACGUACGCUAUGGUGUACACUUUAGUUUACUCUUUGCCAUGUGACAAUAGCUUGUUGGACAGUUUAAAUUUCAAACAGUUUUUCCAUCCAAUUGACACUUGACAAUAAUGCAAUUGUACAAAUAGUAAAGUUCAAUCGGCAAGAACCUUGCUACAUGUACACUAUGGCCCACUUUAAUUUACACUUUGUCAUGUGACAAUACCCUGUUGGACAGUUUAAAUUGCAAACAAUUCUCCCAUCCAUUUGACAAUCGACAACAACUAUGCAAUUGUAAAAGGUGUCAAAAAUUAGUGUACAAAUAACAAAGUUCAAUCAGUAAGAACCUUGCGACAUGCACACUACAGUGUACACUUUAGUUUACAAUUUACCACGUGACACUACCCUGUUAGACAAUUUAAAUUUCAAACAAUUUUUCCAUCUAAUUGACACUUGACAACAAUAUAGGUGUCAAACAACGUGUCAAAAAUUAGUGUACAAACAGUAAAUUUCAAUCGGUAAGAACCUUGCUACAUGUACACGAUGGUGCAGACUUUAAUUUUACACUUUGCCUCAUGACAUUACCCUGUUGGACAGUUUAAAUUUCAAACAGUUUUCCCACCUAAUUGACACUUAACAACAAUGCAAGUGCCAAACGACAUGUCAAAAAUCAGUGUACAAAUAGCGAAGUUCAAUCGUAAGAACCUUACUACAUGUACACUAUGGUACACUUUAAUUUUCACUUUGCCACAUGACAUUACCCUGUUGGACAGUUUAAAUUUCAAACAGUUUUCCCAACCAAUUAACAAUUGACAACAAUGCAAGUGUCAAAGGUAUCAUAAAUCAGUUUACAAAGAGCAAAGUUCAAUCGGUAAGAACCUUGCGACAUGUACACUAUGGUGUACACUUUAGUUUACACUUUGCCAUGUGACACAUCCCUGCUAGACAGUUUAAAUUUCGAACAGUUUUCCCAUCCAAUUGACACUUGACAACAAUGUAAGUGUAAAACAACGUGUCGAAAGACAGAGUACAAAUAGCAAAGUUCAAUCGUUAAGAACCUUGUUAUUUGUAUACUAUGGUGUACACUUUAGAGUACGCUUUUCCACGUGACAUUACCCUGUUGGACAGUUUAAAUUUCAAACAGUUUUCCAAUCCAAUUAACACUUGCCAAUGAUGCAUGUGUCAAACAACGUAUCAAAAAAUAUUAAACAAAGAGCAAAGUUCAAUCGGUAAGAACCUUACGACAUGUACACUAUGAUGUACACCUUAGUUUACACUUUGCCAGGGGUCAUUACCCUAUUGGACAGUAUAAAUUUCAAACAACUUCCCAUCCAAUUGACAAUUGAAAACAAUGCAAGUGUCAAACAACUUGUCAAAAAUCAGCGUACAAAUAGCAAAGUUUAAUCGGUAAGAACCUUGCUACAUGUACACUAUGGUGUACACUUUAGCUUACACUUUGUCACGUAACAUUUCCCUGUGGGAUAGUUUAAAUUUCAAACAGUUUCCCCAUCUAAUUAACACUGACAACAAUGCAAGUGCCAAACAACGUGUCAAAAAUCAGUGUACAAAUAGCAAAGUUCAAUUGGUAAGAAGCUUGCCGCAUGUACACUAUGACGUACACUUUAGUUUACACUUUGCUAGGUGUCAUACCCUGUAGGACGGUUUAUAUUUCAAAUAGUUUUCCCGCCCAAUUGACACUUGUCGACAAUGCAAGUGUCAAACAACGUGUAAAAAAUAAGUGUACUAUAAGCAAUGUUCAAUCGGUAAGAACCUGGCUACUUAUACCCUAUGGUGUAAACUUUAGUUCACACUUUCCCCCAUGACAUUACUCCAUUGGACAGUUUAAAUUUCAAAUAGUUUUUUCAUCCAAUUGACACUUGACAACAAGACAAGUGUCAAACAACGUGUCAAAAAUUAGUGUACGAAUAGCAAAGUUCAGACGGUAAGGACCUUGGUACAUGUACACUAUGUUGUGCACUUUAGUAUACAGUUUGCCAGGUGUCAUUACCCUAUUGGACAGUUUAAAUUUCAAACAGCUUUCCCAUCCAAUUGACACUUGACAACAAUGUAAACGUCGAACAACUUGUUAAAAAUCAGUGUACAAACAGCAAAAUUCAAUCGGUAAGGACCUUGCUACAUGAACACUAUGGUGUACACUUUAGUUUACACUUUGUCACGUAACUUUAUCCUGUUGGGCAGUUUAAAUUUCAAAUAGUUUCACAUCUAAUUGACACCUGACAACUAUGCAAAAAUCCUCGUGUCAAAAAUUAGUGUACAAAUAGCAAAGUUCAAUCGGUAAGAACCUUGCCACAUGUACACUAUGGUGUACACUUUAGUUUACACUUUGCCCCAUGACAUUACUCUAUUAGACAGUUUAAAUUUUAAAUAGUUUUUCCAACCAAUUAACCUUGACAAUAAUACAGCUGUCAAGUAACGUGUCGAAAUUAAGUGUACAAAUAGCAAAGUUCAAUCGGUAAGGACCUUGCUACAUGUACACUAUGGUGUACACUUUAGUUUACUCUUUGCCACGUGAUAUUACCCUGUUGGACAGUUUAAAUUUUAAACAGUUUUCCCAUCCAAUUGACACUUGACAACAAUGCAAGUCUCAAACAACAUGACAAAAAUUAGUGUACGAAUAGCAAAGUUAAAUAGACAAAAACCUUGCGAUAUGUACACUAUAGUGCACUUUAAUUUACACUUUUCCACGUGACAUUAUCAUGUUGGACAGUUUAUAUCGCAAACCAUUUUUCCAUCCAAUUGACACUUGACAAAAGCAGUGCAGGUGUAAAAUGUGUCGAAAAUCAGUGUACAAAUAACAAAGUUCAAUCGGUAAGAACAUUGCGACAUGUACACUAUGGUGUACACUUUAGUUUACAAUUCACCACGUGCCACUACCCUACUGGACAGUUUAAAUUUCAAACAGUUUUCCCAUCUAAUUGACACUUGACAACAAUGCAAGUGUCAAACAACAUGCCAAAAAUCAGUGUACCAAUAGCAAAGUUCAAUCAAUAAGAACCUUGCUACAUGUACCCUAUGGUGUAGACAUUAAAUUUAUGCUUUGCGACGUGACAUUACCCUAUUGGACAGUUUAAGUUUCAAAAAGUUUUCCCAUCUAUUUGAUGCUUGACAACAAGGCAAGUGUUAAACAACGUGUCAAAAAUCAGUGUACAAAUAGAGAAAUUUCAACCGGUUAGAACCUUGCUACAUGUACACUAUGGUGUACACUUUAGUUUACACUUUGCUAAGUAACAUUACCCUGUUGGACAGUUUAAAUUUUGAGCAGUUUUCCCAUCUAAUUGACACCUGACAACAAUGCUAGUGUCAAACAACGUGUCAAAAAUUAGUGUACAAAUAGCAAAGUUCAAUCGGUAAGAAACUUGCCAAAUGUACACUAUGUCGUACACUUUAGUUUACACUUUGCCAGGUGUCAUUAUCGUGUUGGACAGUUUAAAUUUCAAAUAGUUUUCCCAUCCAAUUGACACUUGAUAACAAUCCAAAUGUCAAACAAUGUGUCAAAAAUCAGUGUACAAAUAGCAAAGUUCAGUCGAUAAGAACUUUGCUACAUGUACACUAUGGUGUACACUUUAGUUUACACUUUGCCCCGUGACAUUACUCUAUUGGACAAUUUAAAUUUCAAACAGGUUUUCCAUACAAUUGACCCUUGACAACAAUAAAGGUGCUAAAUAACUUGUCAAAAAUCAGUGUUCAAAUAGCAAAAUUCAAUCGGUAAGGACCUUGCUACAUGUACACUAUGGUGUACACUUUAGUUUACUCUUUACCACGUGACAUUACUCUAUUGCUCAUUUUAAGUUUCAAAUGGUUUUCCCAUCCAAUUGAUACUUAACAACAAUGCAAUUGUCAAACAGCGUGACAAAAAUAUGUGUACAAAUAGAAAAGUUCAGUCGACAAGAACCUUGCUACAUGUACACUAUGGUCCACUUUAAUUUACACUUUGCCACGUGACAUUACCCUAUUGGACAGUUUAAAUUGCAAGCAGUUUUUCCAUCCAAUUGACACUUGACAACAACAAUGCAAGUGUAAAAGGUGUCAAAAAUCAAUUUACAAAUAGCAAAGUUCAAUAGGCAAGAACCUUGCGACAUGUAUACUACGGUGUACACUUUGGAUUACAAUUUUCCAUGCGACACUACGCUGCUGGAUAGUUUAAAUUUCAAAACAAUUUUCUUAUCUAAUUAACACUUGACAACAAUGCAAGUGUCAAACAACGUGUCAAAAAUCAGUGUACAAAUAGUAAAGUUCAAUCGGUAAGAACCUUGCUACAUGUACACUAUGGUACAGACUUUAAUUUUACACCUUGCCACGUGACAUUAUCCUGUUGGACAUUUUAAAUUUCAAGCAAAUUUCCCAUCCAAUUGGCACUUGCAACAGUGCAAGUGUCAAACAUCGUGUCAAAAAUCUGUGUACAAAUAGCACAGUUCAAUCGGUAAGAACCUUGCUACAUAUACACUAUGGUACACUUUAAUUUCCACUUUGCCACAAGACAUUACUCUGUUAGACAGCUUAAAUUUCAAAUCGUUUUCCCAUCCAAUUGACACUUGACAACAAUGCGAGUGUCAAAGGUGUCAUAAAUCAGUUUACAAAUAGCAAAGUUCAAUCGGUAAGAAUCUUGCUACUUGUACCCUAUGGUGUACACUUUAGUUUACACUUUGCCCCGUGACAUAACUCUAUUGGAGAAUUUAAAUUUCAAACAAUUUUUUCAUCCAAUUGACACUUGACAACAAUACAAGUGUCAAACAACGUGUCAAAAAUUAGUGUACAAAUAGCAAAAUUCAAUCGGUAAGGACCUUGCUACAUGUACACUAUGCUAUACACUUUAGUUUACACUUUGCCAGGUGUCAUUACCCUAUUUCAAAUAGUUUUCCCAUUCAAUUGACACUUGACAAUAAUGUAAACGUCGAACAAUGUGUCAAAAAUCAGUGUACAAAUAGCAAAGUUCAAUCGGUAAGGACCUUGCUACAUGUACACUAUGGCGUACACUUUAGGUUACACUUUGCCAAGUGUUAUUACUAUGUUGGACAGUUUAAAUUUCAAACAGUUUUUUCCGUCCAAUUGACACUUGACAACAAUCCAAAUGUCAAACAAUGUGUCAAAAAUCAGUGUACAAAUAGCAAAGUUCAAUCGGUAAGAACCUUGCUACAUGUACACUAUGGUGUACACUUUAGUUUACACUUUGCCCCGUGACAUUACUCUACUGGACAACUUAAAUUUCAAACAAUUUUUCCAUACAAUUAAGCGUUGACAACAAUAAAGGUGUCAAAUAACAUGUUGGAAAUCAAUGUACAAAUAACAAAGUACAAUCGGUAAGGACUUUAGUUUACACUUUUCCAUAUGACGUCACCCUACUGGAGAGUUAAAAUUUAAAAACGUUUUCCCAAACAAUUGACACUUGACAACCGUACAAGUGUCAAACAACGUGUUAAAAAUCAGUGUACAAGUAGCAAAGUUCAAUCGGUAAGGACCUUGCUACAUGAACUCUAUGGUGUACACUUCAGUUUGCACUUUGCCACGUGACAUUACCCUGUUCGACAGUUUAAAUUUCAAACAAUUUUCCCAUCUAAUUGACACUUGACGACAAUGCAAAUGUCAAACGAAGUGUUAAAAAUCAGUGUACGAAUAGCAAAGUUCAAUCGGUAAGAACUUUGCUACAAGUACACUAUGGUGUUCACAUAGCAAGGUUCAUACAGUUUCAAUUUAUCCAUCCAAUUGACACCUGACAACGAUGCAAGUGUCAAACAACGUGUGAAAAAUUGGUGUACAAAUAGCAAAGUUCAAUCGGUAAGGACUUUGCCACAUGUACACUAUGGUAUACACUUUAGUUUACACUUUGCAACGUAAUAUUACCCUGUUGGAUAGUUUAAAUUUCAAAUAGUUUUCACUUCCAAUUGACACUUGGCAACAAUGCAAGUGUCAAAGAAGGUGUCAAAAAUCAGUGGAUAAAUAGCAAUGUUCAAUCGGUAAGGACCUUGCUACAUGUACACUAUGGUGUACAAUUUAGUUUACUCUUUUCCACGUGACUUUACCCUAUUGGACAGUUUAAAUUUCAAAAAGUUUUUCCAUCCAAUCGACACUUGACAACAAUGCUAGUGUCAAACAACGUGUACAAAUAGCAAAGUUUAAUCGAUCUGAACCUUGCUAUAUGUACACUAUGGUGUACAAACUUUAGUUUACACAAUGCCCCGUGACAUUACCAUGCCGAAAAGUUUAAAUUUUAAACAAUUUUUCUAUCAAAUUGACACCUGACAACAAUGCAAGUUUCAAACAAUGUGUCAAACAUUAGUGUACAAAUUGCAAAGUUCAAUCGAUAAGGACCUUGCUAUAUGUACACUAUGGUGUACAAUUUAGUUUACACUUUGUCACGUGACAUUACCCUAUUGGAUAGUUUAAAUUUCAAAUAAUUUUCCCAUCCAAUUGACACUUGACAACAAUGCAAGUGUCAAACAACGUGCAAAAAUCAGUUUAAAAAUAGCAAAGUUCAAUCGGUAUGAACCGUUCUAUGGGUACACUAUGGUCUAUACUUUAGUUUACUCUUUGCCACGUGACAUUACCCUGUCGAACAUUUUAAAUUUCAAACAGUUUUCCCAUCCACUUGACAGUUGACAACAAUGCAAGUGUCAAACAACAUGUAAAAAUUCAGUGUAUAAAUAGCAAAGCUCAAUUGUCAAGAACGUUGCAAUAUGUACACGAUAGUGUAUACACUUUAGUUUACACUUGACAACUUGACAUUACCCUACUGGACAAUUUAAAUUUCAAACAGUUUUUCCAUCAAAUUGACACUUGACAACAAUGCAGUGUCAAACAACAUGUCAAAAAUCAGUGCACAAAUAGCACAGUUCAAUCGGUAAGGACCUUGCUACAUGUACACUAUGGUGUACACUUUAGUUUACACUUUCCCACAAGACAUUACCCUACUGGAUAGUAUAAAUUUCAAACAAUUUUCCCAUCUAAUUGAUACUCGACAACAAUGCAAGUGUCAAACAACCUGUGAAAAAUCUGUGUACGAAUAGCAAAGUUCAAUCGGUAAAAACCUUGCUACAUGUACACUAUGGUGCACACUUUAGUUUACACUUUGCCACGUGACAUUACCCUGUUGGACAAUUUAAAUUUCAAACAAUUUUCCCAUCCAAUGGACACUUGACAACAAUGCAAGUGCCAAACAACAUAUCAAAAAUCAGUUUACCAAUAGCAAAGUUCAAUCGGUAUGAACCAUGCUACAGGUACGCUAUGGUGUACACUUUAGUUUACACUUUGUCAAGUGACGUAUGAAGAGCAAAAUUCAAUCGGCAAGAACCUUGCUAUAUGUACACUAUGGCAUACACACUUUAGUGUACACUUUACCACUUGACAUUAUCCUGCUGGGCAAUUUAAAUUUCAAACAGUUUUUCCAUCAAAUUGACACUUGACAACAAUGCAAGUGUCAAACAACGUGUCCAAAAUCAGUGCAAAGUUCAAUCGGUAAGGAACUUGCCACAUGUACACUAUAGUUUACACUUUCCCACGUGACAUUACUCUGUUGGGUAGUUUAAAUUUCAAAAAUGUUUUCCCAUUCAAUUGACACUUGAAAACAAUGUAAGUGUCAAACAACGUGUCAAAAAUUAGUGUACAAAUAAUAAAGUUCAAUCGGUAAGGACCUUGCUACAUGUACACUAUGGUGUACACUUUAGUUUACUCUUUGCCAUGUGAUAUUAUCCUGUUGGAUAGUUUAAAUUUCAGACAGCUUUCCCUUCCAAUUGACACUUGACAACAAUGACAAUGUCAAACAUCAUGUCAAAAAUAAGUUUACAAAUAGCAAAUUUCAAUCGGUACGAACCAUGCUACAGGUACACUUUGAUGCACACUUUAGUUCACUCUUUGCCAUGUCACAUUACCCUGCUGGACAAUUUAAAUUUGAAAUAGUUUUCCCAUCCAAUUGAAACUCGACAACAAUGUAAGUGUCAAACAACGUGUCAAAAAUCAGCGUAUGAAUAGCAAAAUUCAAUUCGUAAGAACCUUGCUAUAUGUACACUAUGGUGUACACACUUUAGUUUACACUUUGCCACUUGACAUUACCCUGCUGGACAAUUUAAAUUUCAAACAGUUUUCCAUCAAAUUGACACUUGACAACAAUUCAAGUAUCAAACAAUGUGUCAAAAAUCAUUGCAUGAAUAGCAAAGUUCAAUAGGUAAGUACCUCGCUACAUGUACACUAUGGUGUAUACUUCAGUUUACACUUUGCCACAUGACAUUACCCUAUUGGACAGUUUAAAUUUCAAAUAGUUUUCCCAUCCAAUUGACACUUGGCAAUAGUGCAAGUGUCAAACAACGUGUCAAAAAUCAGUUUACAAAUAGCAAAGUUCAAUCGGUAAGGACCUUGCUAUAUGUACACUGUGGUAUAUACUUUAGUUUACUCUUUUCCACGUAACUUCACUAUUGGACAGUUUAAAUUUCAAAAAGUUUUCCCAUCCAAUUGAAACUUAACAACAAUGCAAGUGUCAAACAACAUGUAAAAAUUCAGUGUAUAAAUAGCAAAGUUCAAUUGUCAAAAACCUUGCUAUAUGUGCACGAUGGUGUACAUACAUUAGUUUACACCUUGCCACUUGACAUUACCCUGCUGGACUAUUUAAAUUUCAAACAGUUUUUCCAUCAAAUUAACACUUGACAACAAUGCAAGUGUCAAACAACCUGUCAAAAAUAAGUGCACAAAUUGAAAAGUUCAAUUGGUAAGGACCUUGUUACGCGUACACUAUGGUGUACACUUUAGUUUACACUUUGCCACAAGACAUUACCUUGCUGGACAGUAUAAAUUUCAAAAAGUUUUCCCAUCUAAUUGAUACUCAGCAACAAUACAAGUGUCAAACAACCUAUGAAAAAUCAGUGUACAAAUAGCAAAGUUCAAUCGAUAAGAACUUUGCAACAUGUACACUAUGGUGUACAUUUUAGUUUACACUUUGUCACGCGACAUUACCCUGUUGGACAGUUUAAAUUUCAAACAGUUUUUGGGUCCAAUUGACACUUGACAACAAUGCAAGUACCAAACAACAUGUCAAAAAUCAGUUUACAAAUAGCAAAGUUCAAUCGAUAUGAACCAUGCUACAGGUACAUUAUGGUGUGCACUUUAGUUUACACUUUGCCACAUGAUGUUUUCAUGUUGGACAGUUUAAAUUUUAAACAGUUUUUCCAUCCAAUUUACACUUCACAACAAUGCAAGUAUCGAACAACGUGUCAAAAAUCAGCAUAUGAAGAGCAAAAUUCAAUUGGCAAGAACCUUGCUAUAUGUACACUAUGGUGUACACACUUUAGCUUACACAUUGCCACUUGACAUUACCCUACUGGACAAUUUAAAUUUCAAACAGUUUUUCCAUCAAAUUGACACUUGAUAACAAUGCAAGUGUCAAGCAACGUGUCAAAAAUCAGUGCAAAAACAGCAAAGUUCAAUCGGUAAGGAACUUGCCACAUGUACACUAUGGUGUACACUAUAGUUUACACUUUCUGAUGUGACAUUAUCCUGUUGGAUAGUUUAAAUUUCAAAAAGUUUUCCCAUCCAAUUGAUACUUGACAACAAUGCAAGUGUCAAACAACGUGUCAAAAAUCAGUGUACAAAUAAUAAAGUUCAAUCGGUAAGGACCUUACUACAUGUACACUAUGGUGUACACUUUAGUUUACUCUUUGCCAUGUGACAUUACCCUAUUGGAUAGUUUUAAUUUCAAAUAGCUUUCCCUUCCAAUUGACUCUUGACGACAACGAUAGUGUCAAACAACGUGUCAAAAUAAGUUUACAAAUAGCAAAGUUCAAUCGGUACGAACCAUGCUACAGGUACACUUUGGUGCACACUUUAGUUUACUAUUUCCCAUGUGACAUUACCCUGUUGGACAGUUUAAAUUUGAAACAGUUUUCCCAUCCAAUUGAAACUCGACAACAAUGUAAGUGUCAAACAACAUGUCAAAAAUCAGCGUAUGAAUAGCAAAAUUCAAUCGGUAAGAACCUUGCUAUAUGUACACUAUGGUGUACACACUUUAGUUUACACUUUGCCACUUGACAUUACCCUGCUGAACAAUUUAAAUUUCAGACAGUUUUUCCAUCAAAUUGACACUUGACAACAAUGCAAGUGUCAAACAACGUGUUAAAAAUCAGUGCACGAACAGCAAAGUUCAAAAGGUAAGGACCCCGCUACAUGUGCACUAUGGUGUACACUUUAGUUUACACUUUGCCACGUGACAUUACCCGAUUAGACAGUUUAAAUUUCAAACAGUUUUCCCAUCCAAUUGACACUUGGCAAUAAUGUAACUGUCAAACAACGUGUCAAAAAUCAGUUUACAAAUAGCAAAGUUCAUUCGGUAAGGACCUUGCUAUAUGUACACUGUGGUGUAUACUUUAGUUUACUCUUUUCCACGUGACUUUACUAUUGGACAAUUUAAAUUUCAAAAUGUUUUCCCAUCCAAUUGACACUUAACAACAAUGCUAGUGUCAAACAAUGUGUCAAAAAUCAGUGUACAAAUAGCAAAGUUCAAUCGGUCUGAACUUGCUAUAUGUACACUAUGGUGUACAAACUUUAGUUUACACUUUGCCACGUGACAUUAUCCUGCUAGAUAGUUUAAAUUUCAAACAGUUUUUCCAUCCAAUUGACACUUGAUAACAAUGCAAGUGUCAAACAACAUGUCAAAAAUUAGUGUACAAAUAGUAAAGUUCAACCGGUAAGGACCUUGCUACAUGUACACUGUGGUGUACACUUUAGUUUACUCUUUGCCACGUGACAUUACUCUUUUGGACAGUUUAAAUUUCAAACAGUUUUCCCAUCCAAUUGACACUUGACGAUAAUGCAAGUGUCAAACAACGUGUCAAAAAUAAGUUUACAAAUAGCAAAGUUCAAUUGGUAUGAACCAUGCUACAGGUACACUAUUGUGUACACUUUAGUUUAAUCUUUGCCUUGUGACUUUACGCUAUUGGACAGUUUGAAUUUCAAAUAGUUUUUCCGUCCAAUUAACACUUGACAACAAAGCAAGUGUCAAACAACGAGUCAAAAAUUAGCGUAUGAAUAGCAAAAUUCAAUCGGUAAGAACCUUUUUAUAUGUACACUACGGUGCACACACUUUAGUUUACACUUUGCCACGUGACAUUACCCUGCUGGACACUUUAAAUUUCAAACAAUUUCUCUGAAAUUGACACUUCACAACAAUGCAAGUGUCAAACAACGUGUAAAAAAUUAGUGCACAAAUAACAAAGUUUAAUCAGUAAGGACCUUGCUACAAGUACACUAUGGUGUACACUUCAGUUUACACUUUGCCACGUGAUAGUAUCCUGUUGGACAGUUUAAAUUUCAAACAAUUUUCCCAUCCAAUUAACACUUGGCAACAAUGCAAGUGACAAACAAUGUGUCAAAAAUCAGUGUACAAAUAGCAAAGUUCAAUCGGUAAGGACCUUGCUAUAUGUACACUAUAGUGUACACUUUAGUUUACACUUUACCACAAGACAUUACUCUGCUGGACAGUUUAAAUUUCAAAUAGUUUUCCCACCUAAUUGAUACUCGACAACAAUGCAAGUGUCAAACAACGUGUGAAAAAUCUGUGUACAAAUAGCAAAGUUCAAUAGGUAAGAACCUUGCUACAUGUACACUAUGGAAUACAUAUUAGUUUACACUUUCCCACGUGCCAUUACCCUGUUGGAUAGUUUAAAUUUCAAACAGUUUUCCCAUCCAAUUGACACUUGACAACGAUGCAAGUGCCAAACAACAUGUCAAAAAUCAGUUUACAAAUAGCAAAGUUCAAUCGAUAUGAACCAUGCUACAGGUACACUAUGGUGUACACUUUAGUUUACACUUUGCCACGUGACGUUUCCACGUUGGACAGUUUAAAUUUCAAACAAUUUUUCCAUCCAAUUGACACUUCACAACCAUUCAAGUAUUAAACAACGUGUCAAAAAUUAGUGUACAAAUAGCAAAGUUAAAUCAGUAAGGACCUUCCUACAUGGACACUAUGGUGUAUACUUUAGUUUACACUUUGUGACGUGACAUUAUCCUAUUGGACAGUUUAAAUUUCAAACAGCUUUCCCGUCCGAUUGACCCUUGACAACAAUGCGAGUGUCAAACAAUGAGUCCAAAAUCAAUGUACAAACAGCAAAGUUCAAUCGCUAAGGAACUUGCCACAUGUACACUAUGGUGUACACUAUAGUUUAUACUUUGCCACGUGACAUUACCCUGUUGGAAAGUCUAAAUUUCAAAAAGUCUUCCCAUCCAAUUGACACUUGACAACAAUACAAGUGUCAAAGAACAUGUCGAAAAUCAAUGUACAAAUAGCAAAUUUCAAUCGGUAAGGACCUUGCCACAUGUACACUAUGGUGUACACUUUAAUUUAAACUUUUCCACGUGACGUAACCCUGCUGAACAAUUUAAAUUUUAAACAGUUUUCCCACACAAUUGACACUUGACACUUGACAACAAUGCAAGUGUCGAACAACGUUUCAGAAAUUAGUGUACAAAUAGCAAAGUUCAAUUGGUAAGGACCUUGCGACAUGUACAUUAUGGUGUACACUUUAGUUUACACUUUGCCACGUGACAUUAUCCUGUUGGAUAGUUUAAAUUUGAAAUCGUUUUACAAUCCAAUUGGCACGUGACAACGAUGUAGGUAUCAACAAACGUGUCAAAAAUCAGUGUACAAGUAGCAAAGAUUAAUCGAUAAGAACCUCGCUAAAUGUAUACUAGGGUUGUACACUUUAAUUUACACUUUGCCACGUGACAUUACCCUGUUGGACAGUUUAAAUUUCAAACAGUUUUUCACUCCAAUUGACACUUGACAACAAUGCAAGUGUCAAACAACGUAUCAAAAACCAGUGUACAAAUAGCAAAGUUCAAUCGGUAAAGACAUUGCUACAUGUACACUAUGGAAUACACUUUAGUUUACACUUUCCCACGUGACAUUACCCUGUUGGACAAUUUAAAUUUCAAACAAUUUUUCCAUCCAAUUGACACUUUACAAAUAGCAAAGUUCAAUCGAUAUGAACCAUGCUACAGGUACACUAUGGUGUACACUUUAGUUUACACUUUGCCACGUGACGUUUCCAUGUUGGACAGUUUAAAUUUCAAACAGUUUUUCCAUCCAAUUGACACUUCACAACCAUUCAAGUGUUAAACAACGUGUCAAAAAUUAGUGUACAAAUAGCAAUGUUAAAUCAGUAAGGACCUUCCUACAUGGACACUAUGGUGUAUACUUUAGUUUACACUUUGCGACGUGACAUUACCCUCUUGGACAGUUUAAAUUUCAAACAGCUUUCCCAUUCGAUUGACCCUUGACGACAACACAAGUGUCAAAUAAUGAGUCCAAAAUCAGUGUACAAACAGCAAAGUUCAAUCGGUAAGGAACUUGCCACAUGUACACUAUGGUGUACACUAUAGUUUACACUUUGCCACGUGACAUUAUCCUGUUGGACAGUCUAAAUUUCAAAAAGUCUUCCCAUCCAAUUGACACUUGACAACAAUGCAAGUGUCAAACAACGUGUCGAAAAUCAAUGUACAAAUAGCAAAUUUCAAUCGGUAAGGACCUUGCCACAUGUACACUAUGGUGUACACUUUAGUUUACACUUUUCCACGUGACGUAACCCUAUUGCACAAUUCAAAUUUUAAACAGUUUUCCCACCCAAUUGACACAGGACAACAAUGCAAGUGUCGAACAACGUUUCAGAAAUCAUUGUACAAAUAGCAAAGUUCAAUUGGUAAGGACCUUGCUACAUGUACAUUACGGUGUACACUGCAGUUUACACUUUGCCACGUGACAUUACCCUGUUGAAUAGUUUAAAUUUGAAAUAGUUUUACAAUCCAAUUGACACGUGACAAUGAUGUAGGUAUCAAUAAACGUGUCAAAAAUUAGUGUACAAAUAGCAAAGAUUAAUUGACAAGAACCUCGCUAAAUGUACACUAUGGUGUACGUUUUAAUUUACACUUUGCCACGUGACAUUACCCUAUUGGACAGUUUAAAUUUCAAACAGUUUUUCCCUCCAAUUGACACUUGACAACAAUGCAAGUGUCAAACAACGUGUCAAAAAUCAGUGUACAAGUAGCAAAGUUCAAUCGAUAAAGACUUUGCUACAUGUACACAAUGGCAUACACUUUAGUUUACACUUUGCAAUGUAAAAUUACCCUGUUGGACAGUUUGAAUUUCAAAUUGUUUUCCCAUCCAAUUGACACUUGGCAAGAAUGCAAGUAUCAAAAAUCAGUGCACAAAGACCAAAGUUCAAUAGGUAAGGACCUUGCUAUAUGUUCACUAUGGUGUACACUUUAGUUUACUCUUUUCCAUGUGACUUUACCCUAUUGGACAGUAUAAAUUUCAAAAAGUUUUUCCAUCCAAUUGACACUUGACAACAAUGCUAGUGUCAAACAAUGUGUCAAAAAUCAAUGUACAAAUAGUAAAGUUCAAUCAGUCUGAACCUUGCCAUAUGUACACUAUAGCAUACACACUUUAGUUUACACUUUGCCACGUGACAUUACCCUGCUGGACAGUUUAAAUUUCAAACAAUUUUUUUUAUCAAAUUGACACUUGACAACAAUGCAAGUGUCAAAUAAUGUGUCAAAAAUUAGUGUACAAAUAGCAAAGUUCAAUCAGUAAGGACCUUGCUACACGUACACUACGGAGUACACUUUAAUUUACACUUUGCCUCGUGACAUUACCCUGUUGGACAGUUUAAAUUUCAAAUAGUUUUCCCAUCCAAUUAACACUUGACAACAAUGCAAGUGUCAAAAAAUGUAUCAAAAAUCAGUUUGCAAAUAGCAAUGUUCAAUCGGUAUGAACCAUGCUACAGGUACACUAUAGUGUACAGUUUAGUUUACACUUUGCCACGUGACAUUACCCUGUUGGACAGUUUAAAUUUCAAACAGUUUUCCCAUCCAAUUGACAAUUGACAACAAUGCAAGUGUUAAACAACGUGUUAAAAAUCAGUGUGUAAAUUGUAAAGUUCAAUUGGCAAGAACCUUACUAUAUCUACACGAUGGUGUACAUACUUUAGUUUACAGUUUGCCAGAUGACAUUACCCUGCUAGACAAUUAAAUUUCAAACAACUUUUCCAUCAAAUUGACACUUGACAACAAUGCAAGUGUCAAACAACGUGUCAAAAAUCAGUUCACAAAUAGCAAAGUUCAAUCGGUAAGGUCCUUGCUACAUGUACGCUAUGGUGUGCACUUCAGUUUACACUUUGCCACGUGACAUUACCCGGCUGGACAGUUUAAAUUUCAAAUAAUUUUCCCAUCCAAUUGACACUUGGUAACAAUACAAUUGCCAAACUUCGUGUCAAAAACCAGUGUACAAAUAGAAAAGUUCAAUCGGUAAGGACCUUGUUACAUGUGCACUAUGGUGUACACUUUAGUUUACUCUUUUCCACGUGACUUUACCCUAUUGGAUAGUUUAAAUUUCAAAAAGUUUUCGCAUCCAAUUGACAUUUGACAACAAUGCUAGUGUCAAACAAUGUGUCAAAAAUCACUAUACAAAUAGCAAAGUUCAAUCGGUCUGAACCAUGCUAUAUGUACACUAUUGUAUACACACUUUACUUUACACUUUUCCACGUGACAUUACCCUUCUUGACAGUUUAAAUUUCAAACAAUUUUUCUAUCAAAUUGACACAUGAGAAAAUGCAAGUGUUAAAUAACGUGUCAAAAAUCAGUGUACAAAUAGCAAAGUUCAAUCGGUAAGGACCUUGCUACAUGUACACUACGGUGUACACUUUAGUUUACACUUUGCCUCGUAACAUUACCCUAUUGGACAGUUUAAAUUUCAAACAGUUUUCUCGUCCAAUUGACACUUGACAACAAUUCAAGUGUCAAAUAAUAUAUCAAAACUCAGUUUACAAAUAGCAAAGUUCAAUCGGUAUGAACCAUGCUACAGGUACACUAUGGUGUACAGUUUAGUUUACACUUUGCCUCGUAACAUUACCCUAUUGGAUAGUUUAAAUUUCAAACAGUUUUCUCAUCCAAUUGACACUUGACAACAAUUCAAGUGUCAAACAGUGUAUCAAAAAUUAGUUUGCAAAUAGCAAAGUUCAAUCGGUAUGAACCAUGCUACAGGUACACUAUGGUGUACAGUUUAGUUUACACUUUGCCACGUGACAUUACCCUGUUGGACAGUUUAAAUUUCAAACAGUUUUCCCAUCCAAUUGACAAUUGACAACAAUGCAAGUGUUAAACAACGUGUCAAAAACUAGUGUAUAAGUUGCAACGUUCAAUUCGCGAGAACCUUACUAUAUGUAUACGAUUGUGUACAUACUUUAGUUUACACUUUGCCAGAUGACAUUACCCUGCCAGAGAAUAAAAUUUCGAACAGUUUUUCCAUCAAAUUGACACUUGACAACAAUGCAAGUGUCAAACAACGUGUCAAAAAUUAGUUCACAAAUAGCAAAGUUCAAUCGGUAAGGACCUUGCUACAUGUACGCUAUGGUGUACACUUCAGUUUACACUUUGCCACGUGACAUUACCAUGCUGGACAGUUUAAAUUUCAAAUAAUUUUCCCAUCCAAUUGACACUUGGUAACAAUGCAAGUGUCAAACUUCGUGUCAAAAAUCAGUGUACAAAUGGAAAAUUUCAAUCGGUAAGGACCUUGCUACGUGUGCAUUAUGGUGGACACUUUAGUUUACUCUUCUCGACGUGACUUUACCCUAUUGGAUAGUUUAAAUUUCAAAAAAUUUUCCCAUCCAAUUGGUACUGGACAACAAUGCUGGUGUCAAACAACGUGUCAAAAAUCAAUGUACAAAUAGCAAAGUUCAAUCGGUCUGAACCUUGCUAUAUGUACACUAUGAUAUACACACUUUAGUCUACACUUUGCCACGUGACAUUACCCUUCUGGACAGUUUAAAUUUCAAACAAUUUUUCUAUCAAAUUGACACAUGACAAAAUGCAAGUGUUAAAUAACGUGCCAAAAAUCAGUGAACAAAUAGCAAAGUUCAAUCGGUAAGGACCUUGCCACACGUACACUACGGAGUACACUUUAGUUUACACUUUGCCUCAUAACAUUACUCUAUUAGACAGUUUAAAUUUCAAACAGUUUUCUCAUCCAAUUGACACUUGACAACAAUGCAAGUGUCAAACAAUGUAUCAAAAAUCAGUUUACAAAUAGCAAAAUUCAAUCGGUAUGAACCACGCUACAGGUACACUAUGGUGUACAGUUUAGUUUACACUUUGCCACGUGACAUUACCCUGUUGGACAGUUUAGAUUUCAAACAGUUUUUCCAUCCAAUUGAUAGUUGACAACAAUGCAAGUGUUAAACAACGUGUCAAAAACCAGUGUACAAAUCGCAACGUUCAAUUCGCGAGAACCUUACUAUAUGGACAUGAUGGUAUACAUACUAUAGUUUACACUUUGCCAUAUGACAUUACCCUGCCAGACAAUUAAAUUUCAAACAAUUUUUCCAUCAAAUUGACACUUAACAACAAUACAAGCGUUAAACAACGUGUCAAAAAUCAGUGCACAAAUAGCAAAGUUCAAUUGGUAAGGACCUUGCAACAUGUACACUAUGGUGUACACUUUAGUUUACACUUUGCCACGUGACAUUACCCUCACAUGACAUUACCUUGCCGGAUAGUUUAAAUUUCAAACAGUUUUGUCCAUCCAAUUGACACUUGACAACAAUGCAAGUGUCAAACAAUGUGUCAAAACUCAGUGUACAAAUAGCAAAGUUCAAUCGGUAAGGACCUUGCUACAUGAACACUAUGGUGUACACUUUAGUUUACACGUUCCCACGUAACAUUGCCCUGUUGGACAGUUUAAAUUUCAAACAGCUUUACCGUCCGAUUGACACUUGACAACAAUGCGAGUGUCAAACAACGUGUCAAAAAUCAAUGUACAAACAGCAAAGUUCAGUCGGUAAGGAACUUGUCACAUGUACACUAUGGUAUACACUAUAGUUUACACUUUGCCACAUGACAUUACCCUGUUGAACAGCUUAAAUUUUAAAAAGUUUUCCCAUCCAAUUGACACUUGACAACAAUGCAGGAAUCAAACAACGUGUCGAAAAUCAACGCACAAAUAGCAAAUUUCAAUCAGUAAGGACCUUGCCACAUGUACACUAUGGUGAACACUUUAGUUUACACUUUGCCACAAGACAUUACCCUGCUGGACAGUUUAAAUUUUAGAUAGCUUUUCCACCCAAUUGACACUUGACCACAAUGCAAAUGUCGAACAACGAGUCAAAAAUCAGUGUACAAAUAGCAAAGUUCAAUUGGUAAGAACCUUGCUAAAUGUACACUUUGAUGUACACACUUUAGUUUAUACUUUGCCACGUGACAUUACCCUGGUGGACAGUUUAAUUUUAAAACAAUUUUUCUAUCAAAUUGACACUUGACAACAAUGCAAGUGUCAAACAAUGUGUCAAAAAUCAAUGUACAAAUAACAAAGUUCAAUCAGUAAGGACCUUGCUACACGUACAUUAUGGUGUACACUUUAGUUUACACUUUGCCUUGUGACAUUACCCUGUUGGACAGUUUAAAUUCCAAAUAGUUUUCCCAUCCAAUUGACACUUAAAAACAAUGCAAGUGUCAAACAAUGUGUCAAAAAUCAAUUUACAAGUCACAAAGUUCAAUCGGUAUGAACAAUGCUACAGGUACAUUAUGGUAUAUAUUUUAGUUUACUCUUCGCCACGCAGUUUAAAUUUGAAAUAGUUUUCCCAUCUAAUUGACAGUUGACAACAAUGCAAGUGUUAAACAACGUGUUAAAAAUCAGUGUGUAAAUUGUAAAGUUCAAUUGGCAAGAACCUUACUAUAUCUACACGAUGGUGUACAUACUUUAGUUUACAGUUUGCCAGAUGACAUUACCCUGCUAGACAAUUAAAUUUCAAACAACUUUUCCAUCAAAUUGACACUUGACUACAAUGCAAAGGUCAAACAAUGUGUCAAAAUUCAAUACACAAAUAGCAAAGUUCAAUUGGUAAGAACCUUGGUACAUGUACACUAUGGUGUAUACUUCAGUUUACACUUUAUCAUGUGACAUUAUCCUACUGUACAGUUUAAAUUUCAAACAGUUUUCCCAUCCAAUUGACACUUGGUAACAAUGCAAAUGUCAAACUACGUGUCAAAAAUCAGUAUACAAAUGGCAAAGUUGAAUCUGUAAGGACCUUGAUACAUGGACACUAUGGUGUACACUUUAGUUUACACUUUGCCAUAUGACAUUACCCUGUUGGGUAGUUUAAACUUCAAACAGUUUUCACGUUCGAUUGACCAUUGACAACAAUGUGAGUGUCAAACAAUGUGUCUAAAAUUAGUGUACAAAUAGCAAAAUUCAAUCGGUAAGGAACUUGCCACAUGUACACUAUGGUGUACACUAGAGUUUACAGUUUCCCACGUGACAUUACCCUGUUGCAUAGUUUAAAUUUCAAAAAGUCUUCCCAUCCAAGACAACAAUGCAAGUGUCAAACAACGUGUCAAAAAUCAUUGUACAAAUAGCAAAUCUCGAUCGGUAAGGACCUUGUCACAUGUACACUAUGGUGUACACUUUAGUUUACAAUUUGCCACGUGACGUAACCCUGUUGCAUACUUUAAAUUUUAAACAGUUUUCCCACCCAAUUGAUACUUGACAACAAUGCAAGUAUGGAACAACGUGUAAAAAAUCAGUGUACAAAUAGCAAAGUUCAAUUGGUAAGGACCUUGCUACAUGUACAUUAUGGUGUACACUUUAGUUUACACUAUGUCACGUGACAUUACCAUGUUGGACAGUUUAAAUUUAAAAUAGUUUUACAAUCCAAUUGACACGUGACAAUGAUGUAGGUAUCAAUCAACGUGUCAAAAAUCAGUGUACAAAUAGCAAAGAUUAAUCGGUAAGAACCUUGCUAAAUGUACACUAUAGUGUACACUUUAAUUUACACUUUGCCACAUGACAUUACCCUACUGGACAGUUUAAUUCUAAAAUAAUUUUUCUAUCAAAUUGACACUUGAAAACAAUGCAAGUGUCAAACAAUGUGUCAAAAAUCACUGUACAAAUAGCAAAGUUCAAUCGGUAAGGACCUUGCUACACGUACACCACGGUGUACACUUUAAUUUACACUUUACUUUAUGACAUUACCCUGUUGGAUAGUUUAAAUUUCAAACAGUUUUCCCAUCUAAUUGACACUUGAAAACAAUGCAAGCGUCAAACAAUGUGUCAAAAAUCAGUUUACAAAUCGCAAAGUUCAAUCGGUUUGAACAAUGCUACAGGUACACUAUGGUGUACACUUUAGUUUACUCUUUGCUACGUGACAUUACCCUGUUGGACAGUUUAAAUUUGAAACAAUUUUCGCAUCCAAUUGAUAGUUGGCAACAAUGCAAGUGUUAAACAAUGUGUUAAAAAUCAGUGUAUAAAUUACGAAGUUGAAUUGGCAAUAACCUUACUAUAUGUACACGAUGGUGUACAUACUUUAGUUUACACUUUGCUAGAUGACAUUACCCUGCUAGACAAUUAAAUUUCAAACAAUUUUUCCAUCAAAUUGACACUUGACUACAAUGUAAGGGUCAAAAAACAUGUCAAAAAUCAGUACACAAAUAGCGAAGUUCAAUCGGUAAGGACCUUGCUACAUGUACACUAUGUGUAUACUUCAGUUUACACUUUGUCACGUGACAUUACCUUGCUGUACAGUUUAAAUUUCAAAUAGUUUUCCCAUCCAAUUGACAUUGGGAACAAUGCAAGUGUCAAUCUACGUGUCAAAAAUCAGUAUACAAAUCACAAAGUUGAAUCUGUAAGGACCUUGCUACAUGGACACUAUGGUGUACACUUUAGUUUACACUUUGCCACGUGACAUUACCCUAUUGGACAGUUUAAACUUCAAACAAUUUUCCCGUCCGAUUGACCAUUGACAACAACGCGAGUGUCAAACAAUGUGUCCAAAAUCAGUGUACAAACAGCAAAGUUCAAUCGGUAAGGAACUUGCCACAUGUACACUAUGGUGUACACUAUAGUUUACACUUUCCCACGUGACCUUACCCUGUUGCACAGUUUAAAUUUCAAAAAGUCUUCCCAUCCAAUUGACACUUGACAACAAUGCAAGUGUCAAACAACGUGUCGAAAAUCAGUGUACAGAUAGCAAAUUUCAAUCGGCAAGGACCUUGUCACAUGUACACUAUGGUGUACACUUUAGUUUACAAUUUGCCACACGACAUUACCAUGUUGGACAGUUUAAAUUUCAAAAAGCUUUACCGUCCUAUUGACAAUUGAUAACAACGUGAGUGUCAAACAACGUGUCAAAAAUCAAUAUACAAAUAACAAAGUUCAAUCGAAAAGAACCUUGCUUCAUGCACACUAUGGUGUACACUUUAGAUCACACUUUGCCAUGUGACAUUACCCUUUUGGACAGCUUAAAUUUCAAACAGUUUUCCCAUCCAAUUGACACUUGACAACAAUACUAGCGUCAAACAACGUGUCAAAAAUCAGUGAACAAAAAGCAAAGCUCAAUCAGUCUGAACCUUGCUAUCUGUACACUAUGGUGUACACACUUUAGUUUACACUUUGCCACGUGACAUUACCCUGCCGGAUAGUUUAAAUUUCAAAUAGUUUUUCCAUCCAAUUGACACUUGAUAACAACGCAAGUGUCAAACAAUGUGUCAAAAAUCAGUGUACAAAUAGCAAAGUUCAAUCGGUAAGGACCUUGCUACAUGUACACUAUGGUGUACACUUCAGUUUACACUUUGCCAUGGGACAUUACCCUACUGGACAGUUUAAAUUUCAAAUAGUUUUCCCAUCCAAUUGACACUUGGCAACAAUGCAUGUGUCAAACUACGUGUCAAAAAUCAGUGUACAAAUGGCAAAGUUCGGCCGGUAAAGACCUUGCUACAUGUACACUAUGGUGUAAACUUUAGUUUACUCUUUUCCAUGUGACUUUAUCCUAUUUGACAGUUUAAAUUUCAAAAAGUGUUUCCCAUCCAAUUGGCACUUGACAUUACCCUGUUGGACAGUGUAAAUUUCAUUCAGUUUUCCCAUCUAAUUGAUACUCGACAACAAUGCAAGUGUCAAACAACGUGUGAAAAAUCUGUGUACAAAAAGUAAAGUUCAAUUGGUAAGAACCUUGCUACAUGUAUACUUUAGUUUACAGUUUCGCACGUGACAUUACCCUGUUGGACAGUUUAAAUUUCAAACAAAUUUUUCGUCCGAUGGACACUUGACAACAAUGCAAGUGCCAAACAACAAGUUAAAAAACAGUUUACAAAUAGCAAAGUUCAAUCGGUAUGAACCACGCUACAAGUACACUAUGGUGCACACUUUAGUUUACACUUUGCCACGUGACGUUUUCAUGUAGGAAAGUUUAAAUUUCAAACAAUUUUUCCAUCCAAUUGACACUUAACAACAAUGCAAGUGUCAAACAAUGUGUUAAAAAUCAGUUUACCAAUAGCAAAGUUGAAUCGAUAUGAACCAUGCUACAAGUACACUAUGGUGUACACUUUAGUUUACACUUUGCCAUGUGACAUUACCCUGUUGGACAGUUUAAAUUUCAAACAAUUUUCCAAUCAAAUUGACAGUUGACAACAAUGCAAGUGUUAAACUACGUGUCAAAACCAGUGUAUAAAUUACAACGCUCAAUUCGCAAGAACCUUACUAUAUGUACACGAUGGUGUACACACUUUAGUUUACACUUUGCCAGAUGACUUUACCCUGCUAGACAAUUAAAUUUCAAACAAUUUUUCCAUCAAAUUGACACUUGACAACUAUGCAAGUGCCAAACAACGUGUCAAAAAUUAGUGCACAAAUAGCAAAGUUCAAUCGAUAAGGAACUUCCUACAUGUACACUUCAGUUUACACUUUGCCACGUGACAUUACCCUGUUGGACAGUUUAAAUUUCAAACAGUUUUUCCAUCCAAUUGACACUUGGCCACAAUGCAAAUGUCAAACUACGUGCCAAAAAUUAGUGUACAAAUAGCAAAGUUCAAUCGUUAAGGACCUUGUUACAUGUACCCUAUGGUGUACACUUUAGUUUACUCUUUUCCACGUGACUUUACCCUAUUGGAUAGUUUAAAUUUCAAAAAAAUUUCCCAUCCAAUUGACACUUGACAACAAUGCUAGUGUCAAACAUCGUGUCAAAAAUCAGUGUACAAAAAGCAAAGUUCAAUUGGUCUGAACCUUGCUAUAUGUACACUAUGGUGUACACACUUUAGUUUACACUUUGCCACGUGACAUUACCCUACUGGAUAGUUUAAAUUUCAAACAGUUUUUCCAUCCAAUUGACACUUGACAACAAUUUAAGUGUCAAACACCAUGUCAAAAAAUAGUGUACCAAUACCAAAGUUCAAUCGGAAAGAACCUUGAGACAUGUACACUAUGGUGUAUACUUUAGUUUAUACUUAGCCACGUGACAUUACCCUGUUGGACAGUUUGAAUUUCAAAAAGAUUUUCCAUCAAAUUGACACUUGAAACCAAUGUAUGUGUUAAACAACGUGCCGAAAAUCUGUGUACAAAUGGCAAGGAUCAAUCAGUAAGAGCCUUGCUACGUGUACACUAUGGGGUAUACUGUAGUUUACACUUUGCCACGUGACAUUACCAUGUUGGACUGUUUAAAUUUCAAAUAGUUUUCCCAUCCAAUUGACACUUGACAUUACCCUGUUGGACAAUGUAAAUUUCAUACAGUUUUCCCAUCUAACUAAUACUCGACAACAAUGUAUGUGUCAAACAACAUGUGAAAAAUCUGUGUACAAAUAGCAAAGUUUAAUCGGUAAGAACCUUGCUACGUGUACACUAUGGUGUACAAUUUAGUUUAGAGUUUGCCAUGUGACAUUACCCUGUUGGACAGUUUAAAUUUCAAACAAAUAUCCCAUCCAAUUGACACUUGACAGUGAUGCAAGUGCCAAACAAAUUGUUAAAAAUCAGUUUACAAAUAGCAAAGUUCAAUCGGUAUGAACCAUGCUACAAGUACACUAUAGUGUACACUUUAGUUUACACUUUGCCACGUGAUGGUUUGAUGUUGGAUAGUUUAAAUUUCAAACAAUUUUUCCAUCCAAUUGACACUUCACAACAAUGCAAGUGUCAAACAACGUGUCAAAAAUCAGUGUACAAAUAGCAAAAUUGAAGUGGUAAGGACCUUGUUACAUGGACAUAAUGGUGCACACUUUAUUUUACACUUUGCCACGUGACAUUACCCUAUUGGACAUUUUAAAUUUCAAAUUGUUUUACCAUCCAAUUAACGCUUGACAACAACGCAAGUGUUAAAAAACAUGUCAAAAAUCGGUGUACAAAUACCAAAAUUCAAUCGGUAAAACUUUGCUACAUGUAAAUUAUGGUGUUCACACUUUAGUUUACACUAUACUAUGUAACACUAUCCUAUUGGGAAGUUUAAAUUUCAAACAAUUUUCCCAUCCAAUUAACACUUGACAACAAUGUAAGCGUCAAACAAUGCAUCAAAAAUCAGUGUACAAAUAGCAAAGUUCAAUCGGUAAGAACCUUGUUACGUGUACACUUUAGUUUAUAGGUUGCCACGUGACAUUACCCUGUUGGAUAGUUUAAAUUUCAAACAAAUUUUCCAUCCAAUUGACACUUGACAGCAAUGCAAAUGCCAAACAAACUGUCAAAAAUCAAUUUACAAGUAGCAAAGUUCAAUCAAUAUGAACCAUGCUAUAAGUACACUAUGGUGUACACUUUAGUUUACACUUUACCACGUGAUGUUUUGAUGUUGGACAGUUUAAAUUUCAAACAGUUUUUCCAUCCAAUUGACACUUCACAACAAUGCAAGUGUCAAACAACAUGUCAAAAAUCAGUGUACAAAUAGCAAAAUUGAAUUGCUAAGGACCUUGCUACAUGGACACAAUGGUGUACACUUUAUUUUACACUUUGCCACGUGACAUUACCCUGUUGGACAGUUUAAAUUUUAAAUUGUUUUACCAUCCAAUUAACGCUUGACAACAACGCGAGUGUUAAACAACGUGUCAAAAAUCGGUGUACAAAUACCAAAAUUCAAUUGGUAAAACCUUGCUACAUGUAAAUUAUGGUGUUCACACUUUAGUUUACACUAUACCAUGUGACACUAUCAUGUUCGGAAGUUUAAAUUUCAAACAGUUUUCCCAUGCAAUUAACACUUGACAACAAUGCAAGCGUCAAACAAUGUAUCAAAAAUCAGUGUGAAAAUAGCAAAGUUCAAUUGGUAAGAACCUUGCUACGUGUACACUAUGGUGUACACUUUAGUUUAUAGUUUGCCACGUGACAUUACCCUGUUGGACAGUUUAAAUUUCAAACAAAUUUCCCAUCCAAUUGACACUUGAUAGCGAUGCUAGUGCCAAACAAAUUGUCAAAAAUCAGUUUACAAAUGGCAAAGUUCAAUCGGUAUGAACCAUGCUACAAGUACACUAUGGUGUACACUUUAGUUUACACUUUGCCACGUGACGUUUUGAUGUUGGACAAUUUAAAUUUCGAACAGUUUUUCCAUCAAAUUGACACUUCACAACAAUGCAAGUGUCAAACAACGUGUCAAAAAUCAGUGUACAAAUAGCAAAAUUGAAUCGGUAAGGACCUUGCUACAUGGACAUAAUGGUGCACACUUUAUUUUACACUUUGCCACGUGACAUUACCCUGUUGGACAGUUUAAAUUUCAAAUUGUUUUACCAUCCAAUUAAUGCUUGACAACAACGCGAGUGUUAAACAACGUGUCAAAAAUCAGUGUACAAAUAACAAAAUUCAAUCAGUAAAACCUUACUACAUGUAAAUUAUGGUGUUCACACUUUAGUUUACACUAUACCAUGUGACACUAUCCUGUUGGGAAGUUUAAAUUUUAAACAGUUUUACCAUCCAACUGACACUUGACAACAAUGCAAGCGUCAAACAAUGUAUCGAAAAUCAAUGUACAAAUAGCAAAGUUUAAUCGGUAUGAACCAUGCCACAUGUACACUAUGGUGGUGCACUUUAAUUUUCACUUGGCCACGUGACAUUACAAUGUUGCACAGUUUAAAUUUCAAAAAGCUUUUCCAUCAAAUUGACACGUGACAACAAUGCAAGGUGUUAAACAACGUGUUGAAAUUCUAUGUACAAAUGGCAAGGAUCAAUCAAUAAGAACCUUGCUAUAUGUACACUAUGGGGUACACUUUAGUUUACACUUUCCCACGUGACAUUACUCUAUUGGACUGUUUAAAUUUUAAAUAGUUUUCCCAUCUAAUUGACACUUGACAACAAUGCAAGUGUCAAACAACGUGUCAAGAAUUAGUGCACAAAUACCAAAAUUCAAUCGGAAAGAACCUUGAGACAUGUACACUAUGGUGUACACUUUAGUUUAUACUUAGCCACGUGACAUUACCCUGUUGGACAGUUUGAAUUUCAAAAAGUUUUUCCAUCUAAUUGACACUUGAAUCCAAUGUAGUUGUCAAACAAAGUGUGGAAAAUUAGUGCACAAAUGGCAAAGUUCAAUUAGUAAGAACAUUGCUACAUGUACACUAUGGGGUACACUUUAGUUUACACUUUGCCACGUGACAUUACCUUGUUGGACUGUUUAAAUUUCAAAUAUUUUUUCCAUCCAAUUGACACUCGACAACAAUUUAAGUGUCAAACACCGCAUCAAAAAUUAGUGUACAAAUACCAAAGUUCAAUCUGAAAGAACCUUGAGACAUGUACACUAUGGUGUACACUUUAGUUUAUACUUAGCCACAUGACAUUACCCUGUUGGACAGUUUGAAUUUCAAAAAGUUUUUCCAUCUAAUUGACACUUCAAACCAAUGUAUGUGUCAAACAACGUGUCAAAAAUCUGUAUACAAAUGGCAAGGAUCAAUUAGUAAGAGCCUUGCUACAUUUACACUAUGGGGUACACUUUAAUUUACACUUUGCCACGUGACAUUACCCUAUUGGACUGUUUAAAUUUCAAAUAUUUUUCCCAUCCAAUUGACACUUGACCACAAUGCAAGUGUCAAACAACGUGUCAAAAAUCAGUGUACGAAUACCAAAGUUCAAACGGAAAGAACCUUGAGACAUGUACACUAUGGUGUACACUUUAGUUUAUACUUAGCCAUGUGACAUUACCCUAUUCGACAGUUUGAAUUUCAAAAUGUUUUUCAAUCUAAUUGACACUUGAAGUCGAUGUAGGUGUCAAACAAUGUGUGGAAAAUUAGAGUACAAAUGGCAAAGUUCAAUUAGUAAGAACCUUGCUACAUGUACACUAUGGGGUACAUUUAGUUUACACUUUGCCACGUGACAUUACCCUGUUGGACUGUUUAAAUUUCAAACGGUUUUCCCAUCCAAUUGACACUUGACGACAAUGUAAAUGUCAAACACCGUGUCAAAAAUCAGUAUACAAAUAGCAAAGUUCAAUCGGUAAGGAUCUUACACUUUUGUUUACGCUUUCUCAUGAGACAUUACCCUGUUGCACAGUUUAAAUUUAAAAUAUUUUUCCCAUCCGAUUUACACUUGACAACAAUGCAAGUGUCAAAGAACAUGUCCAAAAUUAGUUUACUAAUAGCAAAGUUCAAUCGUUAAGGACCUUGCUACAUGUACACUAUAGUGUACACUUUAGUUUACACUUUGCCACGUGACAUUACCCGGUUGGACAGUUUAAAUUACAAACAAUUUUUCCAUCCAAUUGACACUUGACAACAAUGCAAGUGUCAAACAACGUGUCAAAAAUCAGUGUAAAAAUAGCAAAGUUCAAUUGGUAAGCACCUUACUACAUGGACACUAUGCUGUACACUUUAGUUUACACUUUAACACGUGACAUUACCCUGUUGGAAGUUAAAAUUUCAAACAAUUUUUCCAUCCAGUUGACACUUGACAACAAUGCAAUUGUAAAAAAUAGUGUUAAAAAUCAAUGUACAAAUAGCAAAGUUUAAUCGAUGUGAACCAUGCUACAUGUACACUAUGGUGUGCACCUUAACUUACACUUUGUCACGUGACAUUACCCUGUUGGACAGUUUGAGUUUCAAAAAGUUCUCCCAUCCAAUUGGCACUUGACAACAACGCAAGUGUCGAACAACGUGUCAAAAAUCAGUGUACAAAUAGCAAAGUUCAAUUGGUAAGCACCUUGCUACAUGGACACUAUGAAGUACACAUUAGUUUACACUUUGCCACGUGACGUUACCCUGUUGGACAGUUUAAAUUUCGAACAGUUAUCUUGUCCUAUUAACACUUGACAACAAUGCGGGUGUCAAACAACAUGGCAAAAUUCAGUGUGCAAAUAUCAAAGUUCAAUCGGUAAGAACCUUACUACACGUACACUAUGGUGUACACUUUAGAUUACACUUUGCCACGUGACAUUACCUUGUUGGACAGCUUAAUUUUCAAAUAAUUUUCCCAUCCAAUUGAUACUUGACAACAAUACCUGUGUCAAACAAUGUGUCAAAAAUCAGUGUACAAAUAGCAAAGUUCAAUCGGCAAGGACCUUGCUACAUAAACUAUGGUGUACACUUUAGUUUACACUUUGCCACGUAACAUUACUUAGCUGGACAGUUUAAAUUUUAAAUAGUUUUCCCAUCCAGUUGUCACUUGACAACAAUAUAAGUGUCAAACACGGUGUCAAAAAUUAGUGCACAAAUAGCAAAGUUCAAUCGGUUAGGAUCUUGCUACAUGUAAACAGUUGUGUACACUUUAGUUUACGCUUUACCACGUGACAUUUCCCCGUUGGAUAGUUUAAAUUUCAAACAGUUUUCCCAUCCAAUUUACACUUGACAACAAUGCAAGUGUCAAAGAACGUGUUAAAAAUCAGUGUACAAAUAGCAAAGUUCAAUCGGUAAGGACCUUGCUACAUGUACAUAUGGUGUACACUUUAGUUUACACUUUGCCACGUAACGUUACCCGGUUGGACAAUUUAAAUUUCAAACAGUUUUUCAAUCCAAUUGACAUUUGACAACAAUGCAAGUGUCAAACAACGUAUAAAAAAUCAAAGUACAAAUAGCAAAGUUCAAUAGGUAAGAACCUUGCUACAUGUACACUAUGAUGUUUACACUUUACUUUACACUUUGCCACGUGACAUUACCCUAUUGUACAAUUUAAAUUUCAAACAGUUUUCUCAUUCAAUUGACACUUGAGAAGAAUGGAACUGUCAAACAACGUGUCAAAAAUCAGUGAACAAAUAUCAAAGUUUAAACGGUGUGUACACUUUAAUUAACACUUUGCCACGUGACAUUACCCUAUUGGAUAGUUUAAAUUUCAAAAAAAAUUUCCAUCUAUUUGACAUGUGACAACAAUGCAGGUGUCAAACAACAUGUCGAAAAUCAGUGUACAAAUGGCAAAGAUCGAUCAGUAUGAACUUUGCUACUAGUACACUAUGGGGUACACUUUAGUUUACACUUUGCCACGUGACAUUACACUGUUGGACAGUUUAAAUUUCAAAUAGUUUUCUUAUUCAAUUGGCACUUGACAACAAUGCAAGUGUCAAACAACGUGUCAAAAAUCAGUGUACAAAUAGCAAAGUUCAAUCAGCAAGAACGUUGCUACAUGUACAUUAUGGUGUACACUUUGCCACGUGACAUUUUCAUGUUGGACAUUUAAAAUUUCAAACAGUUUUUCCAUCCAAUUCACACUUCACAACAAUGCAAUUGUCAAACAACGUGUCAAAAAUCAGUGUACAAUUAGCAAAGUUCAAUUGGUAAGGACCUUGCUACAUGGACACUAUGCUGUACACUUUAGUUUACAAUUUGCCACGUGACAUUACUCUAUUGGAUAGUUUAAAUUUCAAAAAGUUUUCCCGUCCUAUUGACAAUUGACAACGACGCGAGUGUCAAACAAUGUGUCAAAAAUCAAUAUACAAAUAACAAAGUUCAAUCGGAAAGAACCUUACUUCAUGUACACUAUGGUGUACACUUUAGAUCACACUUUGCCAUGUGACAUUACCCUUUUGGACGGCUUAAAUUUCAAACAGUUUUCCCAUUCAAUUGACACUUGACAACAAUGCUUGUGUCGAACAACGUGUCAAAAAUCAGUGUACAAAUAGUAAAGUUCAAUCGGUAAGGACCUUACUACAUAAACUAUGGUGUACACAUUAGUUUACACUUUGUCACGUGACACUACCCAGCUGGACAGUUUAAAUUUCAAACAGUUUUUCAAUCCAAUUGACACUAAACAACAUGUAAGUGUCGAACGCCGUGUCAAAAAUCAGUGUGCAAAUAGCAAAGUUCUAUCGGUAAGGAUCUUACUACAUGUACACUAUGGUGCACACUUUAGUUUACGCUUGGAGACAUGACAUUACCCUAUUGGAAAGUUUAAAUUUCAAAUGGUUUUUCCGUGAAAUUUACACUUGACAACAAUGCAAGUGUCAAAGAACGUGUCAAAAAUCAGUGUACAAUUAGAAAAGUUCAAUCGUUAAGGACCUUGCUACAUGUACACUAUGGUAUACACUUUAGUUUUCUCUUUGUCACAUGAUAUUACCCUGUUGGACUGUUUAAAUUUCAAAUAGUUUUUCCAUCCAAUUGACACUUGACAACAAUGCAAGUGUUAAACAAUGUGUCGAAAAUCAAUGCACAAAUAGCAAAGAUCAAUCGGUAAGGACCUUGCUACAUGUACACUAUGGUGUACACUAUAGUUUACUCUUUGCCAUGUGACAUUACCUGGUUGGACAGUUUAAAUAUCAAACAAUUUUCCAUCCAAUUGACACUUGGCAACAAUGCAAGUGUCAAACAACGUGUCAAAAAUUAGUGUACAAAUAGCAAAAUUUAAUCGGUAUGAACCAUAAUACAUGUACAUUAUGGUGUACACUUUAAUUUACACUUUCCCCCGUGACAUUACCCGUUGGACAGUUUAAAUUUCAAAAAGUUUUCCAUGUAAUUGACACGUGACAACAAUGUAGGUGUCAAACAACAUUUCGAAAAUUGGUGUACAAAUGGCAAAGAUCAAUCAGUAAGAACUUUGCUACUAGUACACUAUGGGAUGCACUUUAGUUUACACUUUACCAUGUGAUAUUGCCCUGUUGGACAGUUCAAAUUUCAAAUAGUUUUCCCAUCCAAUUGACAUUUGACAACAAUGCAAGUGUCAAACAACUUGUCAAAUAUCAGUGUACAAAUAUCAAAAUUCAAUCAGUAAGAACCUUACUGCUUCUACACUAUGGUGUACACUUUACCACAUGACAUUUCCGUGUUGGAUAGUUUAGAUUUAAAUCGAUUUUUCCGUCCAAUUGACACUUCACAACAAUGCAAGUGUCAAACAACGUGUCAAAAACCAGUGUACAAAUAGCGAAGUUCAAUCGGUAAGCACCUUGCCACAUGAACAGUAUGGUGUACACUUUAGUUUACACUUUGCCAAGUGACAUUACCCUAUUGGGCAGUUUAAAUUUCAAAUAUUUUUCCCAUCCAAUUGACACUUAACAACAAUGCAAGUGUCAAACAACUUGUCAAAAAUCACUGUUCAAGUAGCAAAAUUUAAUCGGUAUGAACAAUGUCACAUGUGCACUAUGGUGUAUACUCUAAUUUACACUUUGCCACGUGACAUUACCCGAUUGGACAGUUUAAAUUUCAAAAAGUUUUUCUAUCUAAUUGACACUUGAAGCCAAUGUAGGUGUCAAACAACGUGUCGAAAAUCUGUGUACAAAUGGUAAAGUUUAAUCAGUAAGAACCUUGCUACAGGUACACUAUGGGGUACACUUUAGUUUACAUAUUGCCACGAGACAUUACCCUGUAGGACUGUUUAAAUUUCAAAUUGUUUUCCCAUCCAACUCACACUUGACAACAAUGCAAGUGUCAAAUAACGUGUUGAAAAUCAGUGUACAAAUAGCAAAGUUCAAUUAGUAAGAACCUUGGUACAUGUACUCUAUAAUGUUCACUUUAUCACGUGACAUUUCCCUAUUGGAUAGUUUAAAUUUCAAAUAGUUUUUCCAUUGAAUUAACACUUCACAACAAUACGAGUGUCAAAUAACAUGUCAAAAACCAGUGCACAAAUAGCAAAGUUCAAUCGGAAAGGACCUUGCAGCAUGGACACUAUGGUGUACACUUUAGUUUACACUUUGCCAGGUGACAUUACCCUGUUGGACAGUUUAAAUUUUAAACAAUUUUCUCGUCCUGCUGACACUUGACAACGCGAGUGUCAAACAAUGUGUCAAAAAUCAGUGUGCAAAUAGCAAAGUUAAAUCGGUAAGAACCUUGCUACAUGAACACUAUGGUGUACACUUUAGAUUACACUUUGUCACGUGACAUUACCCUAUUGAACAGCUUAAAUUUCAAACGGUUUUCCCAUCUAAUUGACACUUGACAGCAAUGCAAGUGUCAAACAGCGUGUCAAAAACUAGUGUAUAAAUUGCAACGUUCAAUUCACAAGAACCUUACUAUAUGUACACGAUGGUGUACAUACUUUAGUUUACACUUUGCCAGAUGACAUUACCUUGCUAGACAAUUAAAUUUCAAACAAAUUUUCCAUCAAAUUGACACUUGACAACUAUGCAAGUGCCAAGCAACGUGUCAAAAAUUAGUGCACAAAUAGCAAAGUUCAAUCGGUAAGGACCUUGUCACAUGUACACUAUGGUUUACACUUUAGUUUACACUUUGCCACGUGAUAUAACCCUGUUGCACACUUAAAAUUUUAAACAGUUUUCCCACCCAAUUGACACUUGACAACAAUGCAAGUAUGGAACAACGUGUCAAAAACUAGUGCACAAAUAGCAAAGUUCAAUCGGAAAGGACCUUGCAGCAUGGACACUAUGGUGUACACUUUAGUUUACACUUUGCCAGGUGACAUUACCCUGUUGGACAGUUUAAAUUUCAAACAAUUUUCUCGUCCUACUGACACUUGACAACAACGUGAGUGUCAAAUAACGUGUCAAAAAUCAGUGUAAAAAUAGCAAAGUCCAAUCGAUAAGGACCUUGCUACAUGGACAUUAUGGUGUAUACUUUAGUUUACACUUUGCCACGUGACAUUACCCUCUUGGACAGUUUAAAUUUCAAAUAGUUUUCCCAUCCAAUUGACCAUUGACAACAAUGCAAGUGUUAAACAACGUAUCAAAAACUAGUGUAUAAAUUGCAAAGUUCAAUUACAAGAACCUUGCCAUAUGUACACGAUGGUGUACAUAUUUUAGUUUACACUUUGCCAGAUGACAUUACCCUGCUAGACAAUUAAAUUUCAAACAAUUUUUCCAUCAAAUUGACACUUGACAACUAUGCAAGUGCCAAACAACGUGUCAAAAAUUAGUGCACAAAUAGCAAAGUUCAAUCGGUAAGGACCUUGUCAUAUGUACACUAUGGUUGACACUUUAGUUUACACUUUGCCACGUGACAUGAACCUGUUGCACACUUUAAAUUUUAAACAGUUUUCCCACCCAUUUGACACUUGACAACAAUGCAAGUACGGAACAACGUGUAGAAAAUCAGUGUACAAAUAGCAAAGUUCAAUUGGUAAGGACCUUGCUACAUGUACAUUAUAAUGUACACUUUAGAUUACACUUUGCCACGUGACAUUACCCUGUUAGACAGCUUAAAUUUCAAAUGGUUUUCCCAUCUAAUUGACACUUGACAGUAAUGCAAGUGUCAAACAGCGUGUCAAAAAUCAGUGUAAAAAUAGCAAAGUUCAAUCGACAAGGACCUCGCUACAUGGACACUAUGGUGUACACUUUAGCUUAUGCUUUGCCACGUGACAUUACCCAGUGGGACAGUUUAAAUUUCAAAUACUUCUCCCAUCCAAUUGAAAAUUGAGUACAAUGCAAGUGUCAAACAACGUGUAAAAAACCAGUGUACAAAUAGCAAAGUUCAAUCGGUAAGGAUCUUGCUGCAUGCACACUAUAGUGUACACUUUAGUUUACGCUUUGCCACGUGACAUUAACCUGUUCGUCAGUUUAAAUUUCAAAUAGUUUUUCCAUCCAAUUUACACUUGACAACAAUGCAAGUGUCCAACAACGAGUCAAAAAUUAGUGUACAAAUAGUAAAGUUCAAUUUGUAAGGACCUUGCUACAUGUACACUAUGGUGUACACUUUAGUUUACACUUUGCCACAAGACAUUACCCUGCUGGACAAUUUAAAUUUCAAACAAUUUUUCCAUCCAAUUGAGACUUGACAACAAUGCAAGUGUCAAACAGCGGGUCAAAAAUCAGUGUACAAAUAGCAAAGUUCAAUCGGUAAGGACCUUGCUACAUGCACAAUAUGGUGUACACACUUUAGUUUACGCUUUGCCAUGUGACAUUACCCUACUGGACAGUUUAAAUUUCAAACAGUUUUUCCAUCUAAUUGACACUUGCCAACAAUACAAGUGUCAAACAACGAGUCAAAAAGCAGUGUACAAAUAGCAAAGUUCAAUCGGUAAGGACCUUGCUACAUGUACACUGUGGUGUACACUUUGGUUUAUACUUUGCCACGUGACAUUACCCUAUUGGAUAGUAUAAAUUUCAAAUAGCUUUCCCAUCCAAUUGACAAUUGACAAAAAUGCAAGUGUCAAACAACGUGUAAAAAAUAGGUGUACAAAUAGCAAAGUUCAAUCCGUAAGAACCUUUCUAAAUGUACACUAUGGUGUACACAGUUUAGUUUACACUUCGCCACGUGACAUUACCCUGUUGGACAGUAUAAAUUUCUAACUGUUUUCCCAUCCUAUUGACACUUGACAACAACGUGAGUGUCAAACAACAUGACAAAAAUCAGUGUUCAAAUAUCAAAGUUCAAUCGGUAAUAACCUUACUACAUGUAUACUAUAGUGUACACUUUAGAUUACACUUUGUCACGUGACAUUACCCUGUCGGAAAGCUUAAAUUUCAAAUAGUUUUCCCAUCCAAUUGACACUUGACAACAACGCCUAUGUCAAACAACGUGUCAAUAAUCAGUGUACAAAUAGCAAAGUUCGAUCGGUAAGGACCUUUCUACAUAAACUAUGGUGUACACUUUAGUUUAAACUUUGCCGCAUGACAUUACCCAGCUGGGCAAUUUAAAUUUUAAACAGCUUUCCCAUCCAAUUGACACUUGACAACAAUACAAGGGUCGAACAUCGUGUCAAAAAUCAGUAUACAAGUAGCAAAGUUCAAUCGGUAAGAAUCUUGCUACAUGUACACUAUGGAGUACACUUUAAUUUACGCUUUGCCACGUGACAUUACCCUGUUGGACAGUUUAAAUUUUAAAUUAUUUUCCCAUCCAAUAUACACUUGACAACAAUGCAAGUGUCAAAGACUGUGUCAAAAAUUAGUGUACAAAUAGCAAAGUUCAAUCGGUAAGGACCUUGCUGCAUGUUCACUAUGGUGUAUGCUUUAUUUUACACUUUGCCACGUGACAUUUCCCGGUUGGACAGUUUAAAUUUCAAACAGUUUUCCCAUCCAAUUGACACUUUACAAUAGUACAAGUAUCAAACAACGUGUCAAAAAUCAGUGUACACAUAGAAAGGUUCAAUCCGUAAGAACCUUACUAUAUGUGCACUAUGGUAUUCACACUUUAGUUUACACUUUGCCACGUGACAUUACCAUGUUGGACAGUUUAAAUUUCAAGCAGUUUUUCCAUCCAAUUGGCACUUGACACAAUGCAAGUGUUAAACAACGUGUCAAAAGUUAGCGUACAAAUAGCAAAGUUCAAUCUGUAUGAACCUUGCUACAUGUACACUGUGGUGUUCACACUUUAGUUUACACUUUGCCAUGUGACGUUACCCCGUUGGACAGUUUAAAUUUCAAACAGUUUUCCCUUCCAAUUGGCACUUGAUAACAAUGCACGUGUCAAACAAUGUGUCAAAAAUUAGUGCACAAAUAACAAAAUAUUAUCAGAAUGAACCAGCUACAUGUACACUAUGGUGUACAAUUUAAUUUACACUUUGCUACGUGACAUUACACUAUUGGACAGUUUAGAUUUCAAAAAGUUUUUCCAUCUAAUUGACACGUGACAACAAUGCAGGUGUCAAACAAUAUGUCGAAAAUCAGUUUACAAAUGGCAAAGAUCAAUCAGUAAUAACCUUGCUACUUGUACACUAUGGGGCACACUUUAGUUUACACUUUGCCAUGUGAAAUUACCUUGUUGGACAGUUUAAAUUUCAAUCAAUUUUUCCAUCCAAUUGACACUUGACAACAAUGUAAGUGUCAAACAACGUGUCAAAAAUCAGUGUAUGAAUAUCAAUGUUUAAUCGAUGUAAACCAUGCUACUUUAAUUUACACUUGCCACAUGACAUUACCUUGAUGGACAAUUUAAAUUUCAAAAUUUUUUUCCAUCUAAUUGACACUUGUAACCAAUGUAGGUGUCAAACAACGUGCCGAAAAUCAGUGCACAAAUGGUAAAAUUCAAUCAAUAAGAACCUUGCUACAUAUACACUAUGGGGUACACUUUAAUUUACACUCUGCCACGUGACAUUGCCCUAUUGGACUGUUUAAAUUUCAAACAGUUUUCCAAUCCAUCUGACACUCGACAACAAUGCAAGUGUCAAACAACGUGUCAAAAAUCAGUGUACAAAUAACAAAAUUCAAUCGGUAAGCACCUUGCUACAUGGACACUAUGGUGUACACUUUAGUUUACACUUUGCCACGUGACAUUUCCCUGUUCGACAGUUUAAAUUUUAGAUAGUUUUUCCAUCUAAUUUACACUCGACAACAUGCAAGUGUCCAACAACGAGUCAAAAAUUAGUGUACAAAUAGCAAAGUUCAGUCGGUAAGGACCUUGCUACAUGUACACUAUGGUGUACACUUUAGUUUACACUUUGCCACAAGACAUUACACUACUGGACAGUUUAAAUUAAAAAUAGUUUUUCCAUCCAAUUGAGACUUGAAAACAAUGCAAGUGUCAAAAGCGUGUCGAAAAUCAGUAUACAAAUAGCAAAGUUCAAUCGACAAGGACCUUGCUACCUGUACACUAUGGUGUACACACUUUAGUUUACACUUUGCCACGUGACAUUACCUUGCUGGACAAUUUAAAUUUCAAACAGUUUUUCUAUCUAAUUGACACUUGAUAACAUUGCAAGUGUCAAGCAACGAGUCAAAAAGCAAUGUACAAAUGGCGAAGUUCAAUCGGUAAGGACCUUGUUACAUGUACACUAUGGUGUACACUUUAGUAAAUACUUUGCCACGUCACAUUACCCUGUUGGACAGUAUAAAUUUCAAACAAUUUUCCCAUCAAAUUGACAACAAUGCAAGUGUCAAACAACGUGUGAAAAAUCAGUAUACGAAUAGCAAAGUUUAAUCGGUGUAAACCAUGCUACAUGUACACUAUGGUGUACACUUUAAUUUACACUCGCCACGUGACAUUACCGUAUUGGACAGUUUAAAUUUCAAAAAGUUUUUCUAUCCAAUUGACACUUAAAACCAAUGUAGGUGUCAAAUAACGUGUCAAAAAUUAGUGCACAAAUGGCAAAGUUCAAUCAGUAAGAACCUUGCUAUAUGUACACUAUGGGGUGCACUUCAGUUUACACAUUGCCACAUGACAUUUUCCUAUUGGACAGUUUAAAUUUCAAACUAUUUUCCCAUCUAAUUAACACUUGACACCAUUGCAAGUAUCAAACAAUGUGUCAAAAAUCAGUGUACAAAUAGCAAAGUUCAAUCUGUAAGCGUCUUGCUACAUGGACACUGUGGUGUACACUUUUGUUUACACUUUGCCACGUGACAUUACCCUGUUCGACAGUUUAAAUUUCAAACAGUUUUUCCAUCUAACUUACACUAGACAACAAUGCAAGUGUCCAACAAUCAGUCAAAAAUUAGUGUACAAAUGGCAAAGUUCAAUCGGUAAGGACCUUGCUUCAUGUACACUAUGGUGUACACUUUAGUUUACACUUUACCACAAGACAUUACCCUGCUGGACAGUUUAAAUUUCAAAUAGUUUUUCCAUCCAAUUGUGACUUGACAAUAAUGCAAGUGUCAAAAAUCAGUGUACAAAUAGUAAAGAUCAAUCGGUAAGGAGCUUGCUACAUGUACACUAUGGUGUUCACACUUUAGUUUACACUUUGCCACGUGAAAAUACCCUGCUGGACAGUUUAAAUAUCUAAUAGUUUUUCCAUCCAAUUGACACUUGAGAACAAUGCAAGUGCAAGCAAUGAGUCAAAAAGCAGUGUACAAAUAGCGAAGUUCAACUGGUAAGGACCUUGCCACAUGUACACUAUGGUGUAUACUUUAGUUUAUACUUUACCACGUGACAUUACCUUGUUGGACAGUAUAAAUUUCAAAUAGUUUUCCCAUUUAAUUGACAAUUGACUAAAAUGCAAGUGUCAAAGAACGUGUCAAAAAUCAAUGUACAAAUAGCAACGUUCAAUCGGUAAGGACCUUGCUACAUGUACACUAUGCUGUACACUUUUCCACGUGACAUUACCCAGUUGGACCGUUUAAAUUUCAAAUAGUUUUCCCAUCCAAUUGACACUUGACAACAAUACAAGUGUCAAACAACGAGUCAAAAAUCAGUGUACACUAGCAAAGUUCAAUCGGAAAGAACCUUGCUACAUGUACACUGUGGUACUCACACUUGAGUUUACACUUCGCCAUGUGAAAUUGCCGUGUUGGACAGUUUAAAUUUCAAAUAGUUUUCCCGUCCAAUUGGUACUUGACAACAAUACAAGUGUCAAACAACGUGUUAAAAAUCAUUAUACAAAUAGCAAAGUUCAAUUGGUAAGAACCUUGCUACAUGUACACUGCGGUGUUCACACUUUAGUUUACACUUUGCCACGUGACAUUACCCUGUUCGACAGUUUAAAUUUCACACAGUUUUUCCAUCCAAUUGGCACUUGACAACAAUGUAAGUAUCAAACAACUUUUCAAAAAUCAGUGUACAAAUAGCAAAGUUUAAUCGGUAUGAACCAUGCUAUAUGUACUCUAUGGUGUACACUUUAAUUUACACUUUGCGACAUGACAUUGCUCUACUAGACAGUUUAAAUUUCAAAAAAUUUUCCAUCCAAUUAACACGUGACAACAAUGCAGGUGUCAAACAACAUGUCAAAAAUCAGUGUACAAAAUGACAAAAAGCAAUCUAUAAGAACCUUGCUACUAGUACACUAUGGGGUACACAUUAGUUUAUACAUUGCCACGUGAAAUUACCCUGUUGGACAGUUUAAAUUUCAAAUAGUUUUCCCAUCCAAUUGACAGUAGACAACAAUGCAAGAGUCAAACAACAUGUCAAAAAUCAGUGUACAAAUAGCAAAGUUCAAUCGAUAAGGACCUUGCUACAUGUACACUAUAGUGUACACUUUAGUUUAUACUUUGCCACAUGACAUUACCCUGUUGGACAGUAUAAAUUUCAAACAAUUUUUCCAUCCAAUUGACACUUGACAACAAUGCAAAUGUUAAACAACGUGUCAAAAAUCAGUGUACAAAUAGCAAAGUUCAAUCGGUAAGCGCCUUACUACAUGGACACUAUGGUGUACACUUUAGUUUACACUUUGCCACGUGACAUUACCUUUUUCGACAGUUUAAAUUUCAAAUAGUUUUCCCAUCUAAUUACACUUGACAACAAUGAAAGUGUCCAACAACGAGUCAAAAAUUAGUGUACAAAUAGCAAAGUUCAAUCGAUAAGGACCUUGCUACAUGUGCACUAUGGUGUAUACUUUUGUUUACACUUUGGCACAAGACAUUACCCUGCUGGACAGUUUAAAUUUCAAAUAAUUUUUUCAUCCAAUUAAGACAUGACAACAAUGCAAGUGUCAAACAAAGCGUCACAAAUCAGUGUAGAAACAGCAAAGUUCAAUCGAUAAGGCCCUUGCUACAUGUACACUACGGUGUACACACUUUAGUUUACACUUUACCCCGUGACAUUAUCCCACUGGACAAUUUAAAUUUCAAACAAUUUUUUCAUCCAAUUGACACUUGACAACAAUGCAAGUGUCAAGCAACGAGUCAAAAAGCAGUGUACAAAUAGCGAAGUUCAAUCGGUAGGGACCUUACUACAAGUACACUAUUUUGUACACUUUAGUUUAUACUUUGCCCCGUCACAUUACCCUGUUGGGCAGUAUAAAUUUCAAACUGUUUUUUCAUCCAAUUGACAAUUGACAACAAUGCAAGUGUCGAACAACGUGUCAAAAAUCAGUGUACAAAUAGCAAAGUUUAAUCGGUAUGAACCAUGCUACAUCUACACUAUGGUGUACACUUCAAUUUACACUUUGCCACGUGACAUUACACUGUUGGACAUUUAAAAUUUGAAAAAGUUUUUCUAUCUAAUUGACACGUGACAACAAUGCAGGUGUCAAACAACAUGUCAAAAAUUAGUUUACAAAUGGCAAAGAUCAAUCAGUAAGAACUUUGCUACUAGUACACUAUGGGGUACACUUUAGUUUUCACUUUGCUGCGUGAAAUUACCCUGUUGGACAGUUUAAAUUUCAAACAGUUUUCCCAUCCAAUUGACACUUGACAACAAUGCAAGUGUCAAACAACGUGUCAAAAAUCAAUGUACGAAUAGCAAAGUUUAAUCAUUGUGAACCAUGCUACGUGUACACUCUGGUUUACACUUUGAUUUACACUUGCCACGUGACAUUACCCUGUUGGACAGUUUAAAUUUCAAAAAGUUUUUCCUUCUAAUUGACACAUGAAAGCAAUGUAGGUGUCAAACAAUGUGUCAAAAAUCAGUGCACAAAUGGCAAAGUUCAAUCAGUAAGAACCUUGCUACAUGUACACUAUAGAGUGCACUUUAGUUUACACUUUGCCACAUGACAUUGCCCUGUUGGACUGUUUAAAUUUCAAACAAUUUUUCCAUCCAAUUGACACUUGACAAUAAUGCAAGUAUCAAACAACGUGACAAAAAUCAAUGUACAAAUAGCAAAGUUCAAUCGGUAAGCACCUUGCUACAUGGACACUAUGGUGUACACUUUAGUUUACACUUUACCACGUGACAUUACCCUGUUCGACAGUUUAAAUUUCAAAUAGUUUUCCCAUCUAAUUUACACUUAACAACAAUGCAAGCUUCCAACAACGAGUCAAAAAUUAGUGUACAAAUAGCAAAGGUAAUCGGUAAGGAGCUUGCCACAUGUACACUAUGGUGUACACUUUAGUUUACACUUUAACACAAGAUAUUACCCUGCUAGAUAGUUUAAAUUUCAAACAGUUUUUCCAUCCAAUUGAGACUUGACAACAAUGCAAGUGUCAAACAACAUGUCAAAAAUCAGUGUACAAAUAGCAAAGUUCAAUCAGUAAGGACCUUACUAUGUGUACACUAUGGUGUACACACAUUAGUUUACACUUUGCCAUGUGACAUUACUCUGCUGGACAAUAUAAAUUUCAAACAAUUUUCCCAUCCAAUUGACAAUAGAUAAAAAUGAAAGUGUCAAAGAAUGUGUCAAAAAUUGGUGUAGAAAUAACAAAGUUCAAUCGGUAAGGACCUUGGUACACGUACCCUAUGGUGUACACUUUAGUUUACACUUUGCCAUGUGACAUUACCCUGUUGGACAGUUUAAAUUUCAAAUAGUUUUCCCAUCCAAUUGACACUUGACAACAAUGCAAGUGUCAAACAACGUGUCAAAAAUCAGUGUACACUAGCAAAGUUCAAUCGGUAAGAACCUUGCUACAUGUACACUAUGGUAUUCACACUUUAGUUUACACUUUGCCACGUGACAUUACCGUAUUAGAUAGUUUAAAUUUCAAAUAGUUUUCCCAUCCAAUUGGUACUUGACAACAAUACAAGUGUCAAACAACGUGUUAAAAAUCAUUGUACAAAUAGCAAAGUUCGAUCGGUAAGAACCUUGCUUCAUGUACACUAUGGUGUUCACAUUUUAGUUUACAAUUUGCCACGUGACAUUACCCUGUUCGACAAUUUAAAUUUCAAAGAGUUUUUCCAUCCAAUUGGCACUUGACAACAACAUGUCAAAAAUCAGUGUACAAAUAGCAAAGUUUAAUCGGUAUGAACCAUGCUACAUGUAUACUAUGGUGUACACUAUUCACUAAAUUAUUUCUUUUGAUUUAAAACUACCGCAAGUGUACGGUUCGUUAACAAGUAAUAAAGUGGAUUAAAUGAGUCCGAAUAUUGUCCCACAGAGAUUGUGAUAUGAUCCAGGAGUCGAGCCCGACGAAGGCAAGUGCGAGAUGAGACCCGUUGAUAGUUGAUGGCGGACCAAUGACGCGAUCAAGGGCAAAGCAAGUGAAACAAGCAAUGGAAUUGCUCGUUCAAGAAACCAUGGAUGGAACCAAGUCUGGGACUCAAAAUGGAGCAACUUUCAUGUUCGGGUCGAAGGCCGAAUCGAUUUGGAUCAAUUUGUUAUCAAGCGACGAAAGCGGAGGCAAAAAUCAAGACCAUGCGGCCGCACAGGUAAAAUUACAUGUAGCCGCACAGCAUGAUACCGAAAACCAAAAGACCAGCUCAAGUUAAACCAUGCGACCGCAUGAGCCAAAAAAAUUAGCGAUUUUUCUAGUUUUGGCCGAAUUUCCUAGUUUCGAUAGAAUUCUUAUGGAAUCAAAUUAUUACCAUAAUUUGAUGGUUUUGGACGUUUUUAUUCAUUAGUAUAAAUAGGAGAAUAUCUUUUCAUUGUAAAAACCUUUGAACUUUUGACAUUGCUUAAUAUUAUAGAGAGAGAAUUAUUCUUUCAAUUUAAUUGUUCUUCUUGAACAAUCUUGGAACUUAUCAAGAUUCAACUUCUUGUGGCAUUCUAUCAAUUGGAUUGUGGGUUCUUUCAAUUGUAAUCAAGGGGUUUAAGGUUCUUCGCUAAUCUAGGGUUUCUUGGUUCAAUUCUUGGGGUUCAAGAUCCAAAAUCGGGUUAGUAUUGGCGUUCUUGGGUUCCGCAUCAAUCUCAUUGUGGGUUUCGUAGUUUCCAUUGCUACGGGGUUCACAUCAGAUUGAUUAGUUCAAUUUUACCUAUCGUCGCCUUAACCGAAACAAUUGAAAUUCUUGCUAUUUUUGCUCACUAAAUUAUGAAUUAAUAACCUACUUAUAAAUAUAAAGCCUAAAUUAACUAGACUAAAUGCGUGAUUAUAACUAAAUGCAAGUUUUAUAAAAAUAUGAUAAUGAAAUGCGUACUAGGAUCCCGAAUCCCCUUAAACCUUCAAUCCCCUUUAAUCCGAAUUUUAUAAAAUUGAUAACACGAUUCAAUUAUGAAGACCAAUAUUCCUAAUUUGUUUAACAAUCUCUCUCGAGUAGAAUUAAACCUAUUUUCACAUGCGAUCCGACUAUAUUUCUAUGACGAAUGCGAACAUAUAAAAAUGCAUUAAAGAUUUAUGAGUACUUAAAGAUUAUGUAAAGCAUAGCGGUAUAUUUCUAUCCCCUAUCGAACUUUACGACAAUUAACAUAAUGUCUAACUUAUUUUCCAUCUCUCGAGGGUAAAAUAAGCCACAAAGCUCAUACAACUAUUGCACACAUAAUUGUAGAGAAAAUAAAAUCCAUGCCAAUCAUUCAAUAAUUAAAAAUAUGUUUUAACGUCAAAUUAAUAAAAUUCAAGAUUAAGGAUUCAUAAUAUAAGGUUCAUCGCAAAUCCUAGCACAUGAAAAUCUAGCCUAACAUAAUGGAAAAUAAAGAAAAACAAUAAUUAAAACCAAGGAAGAACAUCACCUAAUUGAUUUUUGAAGUGAAAUCUUCAAUCUUAAAGUGGGUUGCCUUGUUUUUGCCUUGUUAUUCCUCUCCAAAUCCUUCAAAAUUGUGUAUAUUCUCCAACUCUUUAUGUUUCAGGGUCGUCUGGCAUUUAUUGGGGAUGGAAUUAGGUCAAGGAAGUCGCCCAAAACCUUACUAAAUCGUGUUUGAGUCGAAUAAGGAAACCUGAGAUUUAGUCACAAUUUUAUACCAUGCGACCGCAUGGUAUAAAACCAUGCUACCGCAUGGUUCAGAAGUUUCAGCCCAGAUUUUUCCCUAUAUUGCCUUGUGCGACCGCAAGGAAUUAUAACCAUGUGACCACAUGGUUAUAGAAAAUUUUCCAUCGGACAGCUUUCAGUAUUUGGAUCAUAUCUUCGUCUCCCAAUAUUCAAUUGAGAUUAUUCAAAGUGUUUUGGAAAGAGAACUCAUAGAUUUUAAUAGAAAUAGGCUUCCUCAAAUUCUGAUGUUUACUAUGCGAAAAAUGGAUCUCAAGUAGAUACUAAAAAUCACGAGCGUAGCUUUUUUGCCUGAAAGUUCAUACUUGAUAAUACUUCAACCAUAUUUCACCUCUUGACUCAUUUUCUCAUCCGAUUGACCUCUAACACUCUUGAAUCUUCAUUCCAUUUCUGUCUCAUCUAUAGAUUAUUUGCAACUUGGUCCCCGAACUUUCAGUUUGCUCCAUUUUAGUCCUUUUCCGGCUCUUUUCUCCUGAAUUCCACCAUUUCUAUAGAAACACUUACAUUGCAUGAAUCCAACGAGAUUAAAUCACAAUUUAAACAUUUUUCUCGUAAUUAAGUCAUGUUUGUGAUCUAAAUAAGUGUGCAAAAACAUACUUAUCAAACCCCCCAAACUUGAACUAUUGUUUGUCCUCAAACAAGAUAGCGACUUAAUUCUGAACAAACAUGGCUUAAUACCCUGCUGUGGCUCAGGAUUGGACUAAGUAUUAGACUUUAUGAAAAUUUAUCAGGGCAAAAAUGACAUCAACCUUUACCUGUUAAAUGCGUACUUGACGUGUGUGUGUGAAUUCAUGCCAACAUAUUAGGUUCAUGAUGAAUUUGAGUCCCGACCCCAAGUGGUCAAAUGUGUCCUUACUUGCUCGAGAGAUACACAACCCCCCCAAAUUUAUUCUUUUCACUCAAUUAUCCCGGGGUUGUGUUUUAAGAUUAGAAAUUUACAUAGCUGUAGUCCUCACCCUCUCAUAGUUUGGAUUAAUCUCACUAUCACAAGUUUACAUUUCAACAAGUGAAGGCUCUCCCAAAUUUGAUUGCUUCGACACUCAAGAUUAGAAUAGGUUACUUGCCUCGCCUCGAAGGUAUAGUUUCCUCAACCAAAUGUCUAAGGGCUUUUCUUCUUGUUAAUGUCUCUCUUUUGUUUUUCUCACUUUCCAUUUUUUUUAAUAUAUCAUCUUCUAAUUUGCUUUCUAUAUAACCCCUUUAGCAAGCUUUAGGCCGAUGACUCCCAAACCAGUUGGUUUUAGGGCACCAGGUUUUAAACCCUUGCAGGCUUAUUCACUCGACUUAUAAAGGCUAGAUCAGAUGACUUUUUAUUAACCUCUUUCCUUCUUGCUUUCUAUAUGACUCAUUUACCGAACUUUCGGCCGGUGACUCCCAGGCCAGUUGACCUUAUGGCACUAGAUUUUGAAAUAUCCUUACAGGCUUACUUGCUCAAGUUAUAAAGGCAUGAAAAGAAGUGUCUUGUUCUCACAAAUUUAUUUUAUGCCCUUAUUGUUCUAUACAUUUAGUUUCCAAAACCAACCCCUAAUUUAAGAUUUUCACCUAAUCUUCAUCUUACUGGUCUAGUCAAUCCACACAAUAAAAUUCAUGCACCGAGCCCCCACUCAUCUCAAUGCUCCCCUAUAAUAGCUCAACCAUCACCAAACUAUCUUUAGGUAGUUUACGGGUUAAUUCAAUAGAGGGUUAUCAUUCUUUUCCUACUUUAUGCUCAAAAUCCAGUCAUUCAUAUAACAUGUCAAGCAUGAAUAGCACGCGUAGAUAAUGUCAAGUGUUACAUCAACAAGUAUCAGUUAGUCAAUUAACACCAGAUCUAAAGUUUUGUAGUUUAAACAAGUCCAAUAAUAACAUCAUAGCUACGUGAACUAUGGUGUACACUUUAGUUUACACUUUGCCACGUGAUAAUAUCCAGUUGGACAACUUAAAUUUUAAACAAUUUCCCUAUCCAAUUGACACUUGACAACAACACAAGGGUCAAACACGGUGUCAAAAAUCAGUGUACAAAUAGCAAAAUUCUAUCGAAAAGGAUCUUUCUACGUGUACACUAUGGUGUACACUUUAGUUUAUGCUUUGUCACGUGACAUUACCCCGUUGGACAGUUUAAUUUCAAAAAAUUUUCCAAUCCAAUUUACCCUUGACGACAAUGCAAAUGUCAAAGAACGUUUCAAAAAUCAGUGUACAAAUAGCAAAAUUCAAUCGGUAAGGACCUUGCUACAUGUACACAAUGGUGUACACUUUAAUUUACACUUUGCCACGUGACAUUACCCAAUUGGACAAUUUAAAUUUCAAACAAUUUUCCCAUCCAAUUGACACUUGACAACAAUGUAAGUGUCAAACAACGUGUAAAAAAAUCUGUGUACAAAUAGCAAAGUUCAAUCGGUAUGAAUCUUGCUACAUGUACACUAUGGUGUACACUUUAGUUUACGCUUUGCCACGUGACAUUACUCAGUUGGACAGUUUAAAUUUCAAAUAGUUUUCCCAUCCAAUUGACACUUGACAACAAUGCAAGUGUCAAACAACUUGUAAAAAAUCAGUGUACAAAUAGCAAAGUUCAAUUGGUAAGAACCUUGCUAUAUGUACAGUAUGGUGUUCACACUUUGUGACAUGACAUUACCAUGUUCGACAGUUUAAAUUUUAAACAGUUUUCCCAUCCAAUUGGCACUUGACAACAAUACAAGUGUCAAAUAACAUGUCAAAAAUAAGCGUACAAAUAGCAAAAUUAAAUAUAUAUGAACUAUGCUACAGGUACACUAUGGUGUACACUUUAAUUCACACUUCUCCACGUGACAUUACCCCGUUGGACAGUUUAAAUUUGAAAAAGUUUUUCCAUCUAAUUGACACGUGACAACAAUGCAAGUUUUAAACAACAUGUCGAAAAUCUGUGUACAAAUGACAAAGAUCAAUCAAUAAGAACCUUGCUACUAGUACACUAUGGGGUACACUUUAGUUUACACUUUGCCAUGUGACAUUAACCUGUUGAACAGUUUAAAUUUCAAACAUUUUUCCCAACCAGUUGACACUUGACAACAAUGCAAGUAUCAAACAAUGUGUCAAAAAUCAGUGUACAAAUCGCAAAGUUCGAUCGGCAAGAACCUUGCUUCAUGUACACUAUGGUGUAAACAUUGCCACAUGACAUUUCCAUGUUGAACAUUUUAAAUUUCAAAUCGUUUUUUCAUCCAAUUGACACUUCAUAAUAGUGCAAGUGUCAAACAACGUUUCAAAAAUCAGUUUACAAAUAGCAAAGUUCAAUCGGUAAGGACCUUGCUACAUGAACACUAUGGUGUACACUUUAGUUUACACUUUACCACGUGAUAUUACCCUGCUGGACAGUUUAAAUUUCAAAAAGUUUUCCCAUCCUAUUGACAAUUGACAACAACGCGAGUGUCAAACAAUGUGACAAAAAUUAGUGUACAAAUAGCAAAGUUCAAUCGAAAAGAAUCUUACUACAUGUACACUAUGGUGGUCACACUUUAGUUUACACUUUGUCACGUGACAUUACCGUGUUGGACAGUUUAAAUUUCAAACAAUUUUUCCAUCCAAUUGGGACUUGACAACAAUGCAAGUGUCAAAUAAUGUGUCAAAAAUUAGUGUACAAGUAGCAAAGUUCAAUAGGUAAGAACCGUGCUACAUGUACACUAUGGUGUUCACACCUUAGUUUACACUUUGCCACGUGACAUUACCCUAUUGGAUAGUUUAAAUUUCAAACAGUUUUCCAUCCAAUUGGCAGUUCACAACAAUACAAGUGUUAAACAACUUGUCAAAAAUAAGUGUACAAAUAGCAAAGUUUAAUCGGUAUGAACCAUGCUACGUGUACACUAUGGUGUACACUUUGAUUUACACUUUGCUACAUGACAUUACCCUAUUGGACAGUUUAAAUUUCAAAAAAAAUUUCCAUCUAGUUGAUAUAUGAUAACAAGGCAGGUGUCAAACAACAUGUCGAAAAUUAGUGUACAAAUGGCAAAGAUCAAUCAGUAAGAACCUUGCUACUAGUACACUAUGGGGUACACUUUAGUUUACACUUUACCACGUGACAUUACUGUGUUUGACAAUUUAAAUUUCAAAUAGUUUUACUAUCCAACUGACACUUGACAACAAUGCAAGUGUCAAACAACGUGUCGAAAAUCAGUGUACAAAUAGCAAAGUUCAAUCAGUAAGAACCAUGCUUCAUGUACACUAUGGUAUACACUUUGCCACGUGGCAUUUCCAUGUUGGACAGUUUAAAUUUCAAACAGUUUUUCCAUCCAAUUGACACUUCACAACAAUGCAAGUGUCAAACUACGUGUCAAAAACCAGUGUACAAGUAGCAAAGUUCAAUCGGUAAGCACCUUGCUACAUGGACACUAUGGUGUGCACUUUAAUUUAUACUUUGCCAUGUGGCAUUACCCUAUUGGAUAGUUUGAAUUUCAAACAGUUUUCCCAUCCAAUUGACACUUGACAACAAUGCAAGUGUCGAAAAAUGUGUUAAAAAUCGGUGUACAAAUAGCAGAGUUUAAUCGGUGUGAACCAUGCUACAUGUACACUAUGGUAUACACUUUAAUUUACACCUGCCAUGUGACAUUACCCUGUUGGAUAGAUUAAAUUUUAAAAACUCUUUCCAUCUAAUUGACACUUGAAACCAAUGUAGGUGUUAAACAACGUGUCGAAAAUCAGUGCACAAAUGGCAAAGUUCAAUCAGUAAGAACCUUACUACAUAUACACUAUGGGAUACACUUUAGUUUACACUUUGUUACGUGACAUUACCCCUAUUGGACUGUUUCAAUUUCAAAUGGUUUUCCCAUUCAAUUGACACUUGACAGCAAUGAAAGUGUCAAACAACGUGUCAAAAAUCAGUGUACAAAUAACAAAGUUCAAUGGUAAGCACCUUGCUACAUGGACACUAUGGUGUACACUCUAGUUUAUACUUUGCCACAUGACAUUACCUGUUGGACAGUUUAAAUUUCAAAUAGUUUUCCCAUUCUAUUAACACUUGACAACAACGCCAGUGUAAAACAAUGUAACAAAAAUCAGUGUGCAAAUAUCAAAGUUCAAUCGGUAAGAACCUUACUACUUGUUCACUAUGGUGUACACUUUAGAUUACACUUUCCCACGUGACAUUACCUGGUUGGACAGUUUAAAUUUCAAAUAGUUUUUCCAUCCAAUCGACACUUAACAACAAUGCAAGUGUCAAGCAACGUGUAAAAAAUCAGUGUACAAAUAGCAAAGUUCAAUCGGUGAGGACCUUCUAAAAUGUACACUAUGGUGUACACUUUAGUUUACACUUUGCCACAUGACCUUAACCAGUUGGACAGUUUAAAUUUCAAAUAGUUUUUCCAUCCAAUUGGCACUUGACAACAUGUAAGUGUCAAACAACGUGUCAAAAUCAGUGUACAAAUAGCAAAGUUUAAUUGGUAUGAACCAUGCUACAUGAACAUUAUGGUGUACACUUUAUUUUACACUUUGCCACGUGUUAUUUCCCUGUUGGACGGUUUAAAUUUAAAAAAGUUUUUCCAUCUAAUUGACAUGUGACAACAAUGCAAGUGUUAAACAACAUGUUGGAAAUCUGUGUACAAAUGGCAAAGAUCAAUCAGUAAGAACCUUGUUACUAGUACACUGUGGGGUACACUUUAGUUUACACUUUACCACAUGACAUUACCCUAUUGGGCAGUUUAAAUUUCAAAUAGCUUUCCAGUCCAGUUGACACUUGACAACAUUGCAAGUGUCAAACAAUGUGUCGAAAAUCAGAGUACAAAUAGCAAAGUUCAAUCUGUAAGAACCUUGCUACAAGUACACUAUGGUGUACACUUUGCUACGUGACAUUUCCAAGUUGAACAGUGUAAAUUUCAAACAGUUUUUCCAUCCACUUGACACUUCACAACAAUGCAAGUGUCAAACAUUAUGUCAAAAAUUAGUGUACAAUUAGCAAAGUUCAAUCGGUAAGGACCUUGCUACAUGGACACUAUGGUGUACACUUUAGUUUACACUUUGCCACGUGACAUUACCCUGUUGGACAGUUUAAAUUUCAAAAAGUUUUCCUGUCCUAUUGAAGAUUGACAACAACAUGAGUGUAAAAUAACAUGUCAAAAAUCGGUGUGCAAAUAGCAAAGUUCAAUCGGAAAGAACCUUACUACAUGUACACUAUGGUGUACACUUUAGAUCACACUUUGCCAUGUGACAUUACCCUAUUGGAUAACUUAAAUUUCAAAUUAUUUUCCCAUCCAAUUGAAACUUGACAACAAUGCCUGUCAAAUAACGUGUCAAAAAUCAAUGUACAAAUAGCAAAGUUCAAUCGGUAAGGACCUUACUACAUAAACUGUGGUGUACACUUUAGUUUACACUUUGCCAUGUGACAUUACCCAACUGGAUAGUUUAAAUUUCAAAUAGUUUUCCCAUCUAAUUGACAAUAGACAAUAAUGCAAGUGUCAAACACUUUGUCAAAGAUUAGUAUACAAAUAACAAAGUUCAAUUGGUAAGGAUCUUGCUACAUGAACACUAUGGUGUACACUUUAGUUUACACUUUGCCACGUGACAUUACACUAUUGGACAGUUUAAAUUUCAAACAAUUUUCCCAUUGAAUUGACACUUGACAAUAGUGCAAGUUUCAGACAACAUGUCAAAAAUAAAUGUACAAAUAGCAAAUUUCAAUCGGUAUGCACCAUGAUACAUGUACUCUUUAAUUUACACUUUGCCACGUGACAUUACCGUGUUGGACAGUGUAAAUUUUGAAAAGUUUUUCCAUCUAAUUGAUACUUGAAGCCAAUGCAGGUGUCAAAAAAUGUGUUGAAAAACAGUGUACAAAUUACAAAGUUCAAUCAUUAAGAACCUUGCUACAUGUACACUUUGCCACGUGACAUUUCCCUGUUGGACAGUUUAAAUUUCAAAUAGUUUUUCUAUCCAAUUUACACUUCACAACAAUGCAAGUAUCAAACAACGUGUCAAAAACCAGUGCACAAGUAGCAAAUUUCAAUCGGUAAGGACCUUGCAACAUGGACACUAUGGCGUACACUUUGUCAGGUGAAAUUACCCUGUUGGACAUUUUAAAUUUCAAACAGUUUUCCCAUCCUAUUGACACUUAACAACAACGCGAGUGUCAAACAACGUGUCUAAAAUCAGUGUACGAAAAGCAAAGUUCAAUCGGUAAGAACCUUUUUGUGUACACUUUAGAUUACACUUUGCCACAUGACAUUACCCCGUUGGACAGCUUAAAUUUAAAACAAUUUUCCCAUCUAGUUGACACUUGACAGCAAUGCAAGUGUCAAACAACUUGUCAAAAAUCAGUGUACAAAUAGCAAAUUUCAAUCAGUAAGGACCAUGCUACAUGUAAACUAUGGUGUACACUUUAGUUUACACUUUGCCACGUGACAUUACCCAACUGGACAGUUUAAAUUUUAAAUAGUUUUCCCAUCCAAUUGACACUUGACAACAAUGCAAGUAUCAAACAAUGUACCAAAAAUCAGUGUACAAAUAGCAAAGUUCAAUCCGUAAGGAUCUUGCUACAUGUACACUAUGGUGUACACUUUACUUUGCGCUUUGCCACGUGACAUUACCCUGUUCUUCUGUUUAAAUUUCAAACAAACUCACAUCCAAUUUACACUUGACAACACUGCAAGUGUCCAACAAUGAGUCAAAAAUCAGUGUACAAAUAGCAAAUUUCAAUCGGUAAGGACCUUGCUACAUGUACGCUAAAGUGUACACACUUUAGUUUACACUUUCCCAUGUGACAUUUUCCUGCUGGACAGUUUAAAUUUCAAAUAGUUUUUCCAUCCAAUUGACACUUGAAAGCAAUGUAAGUGUUAAACAAUUAGUCAAAAAGUAGUGUACAAAUAGCAAAGUUCAAUCGGUAAGGACCUCGCUACAUGUACACUAUGGUGUACGCACUUUAGUUUACACUUUGCCACGUAACAUUGCGCUCUUGAAUUGUAUCAAUUUCAAAUAGUUUUUCCAUCCAAUUGACACUUGAAAACAUUGCAAGUGUCAAACAACUUGUCAAAAAUCAGUGUACAAAUAGCAAAGUUCAAUCGGUAAGAACCUUGCUAAAUGUACACUAUGGUGUACACACUUUAGUUUACACUUUGCCAUGUGAUAUUACCCUAAUGGACAGUAUAAAUUUCAAAUAGUUUUCCCAUCCAAUUGACACUUGACAAUAGUGCAAGUGUCAAACAACGUGUCAAAAAUCAGUGUACAAAUUGUAAAGUUCAAUCGAUAAGAACCUUGCUACAUGUACGCUAUGGUGUACACACUUUAGUUUACACAUUGCCACGUGAAAUUACCCUGUUGGACAGUAUAAAUUUCAAAUAGUUUUUUCAUCCAAUUGACACUUGAAAACAAUGUAAGUGUCAAAGAACGUGUCAAAGAUCAGUGCACAAAUAGGAAAAUUCAAUCGGUAUGAAGCUUGCUACAUGUACCUUUGGUGUAAACUUUAGUUUACACUUUGCCACGUGUCAUUACCCUGUUGGAUGGUAUAAAUUUCAAACAAUUUUCCAAUCCAAUUGACACUUGACAACAAUACAAGUGUCAAAGGAUGUGUCAAAAAUCAGUGUACAAAUAGAAAAGUUCAAUCGGUAAGAACUUUGCUACAUGUACGCUAUGGUGUAUACACAUUAGUUUACACUUUGCCACAUGACAUUAACCUAUUAGACAACUUAAAUUUCAAACAAUUUUCCCAUCCAAUUGACACUUGACAACACUGCAAGUGUCAAACCUCGUGUCAAAAAUCAGUGUACAAAUAACGAAUUUUAAUCGGGAAGAACCUUCCUACAUGUACCCUAUGGUGUACACACUUUAGUUUACACUUUGCCACGUGACAUUACCCUGUUAGAUAGUAUAAAUUUCACACAAUUUUCCAUCCAAUUGACACUUGACAACAAUGCAAGUAUCAAACAACUAGUCAAAAAUUAGUGUACAAAUAGCAAAGUUGAAUCGGUAUGAACCUUGCUACAUGUACACUUUAGUUUACAUUUUACCACGUGACAUUACCCUGUUGGGCAGUUUAUAUUUCAAAUAGUUUUUCCAUCUAAUUGACACUGGACAACAAUGCAAGUGUUAAAGAACGUGUCAACAUCAGUGUACAAAUAGCAAAGUUCAAUCGGUAAGAACCUUGCUAAAUGUACGCUAUGGUGUACAAACUUUAGUUUACACUUUGCCACGUGACAUUACCCUAUUGGAUAGUCUAAAUUUCAAAGAGUUUUCCCAUCCAAUUGACACUUGAAAACAAUGCAAGUAUCAAACAAUGUGUUAAAGAUUAGUGCACAAAUAGCAAAAUUCAAUCGGUAUGAACCUUGCUAUAUGUACCCAUUGGUGUAAACUUUAGUUUACACUUUGCAACGUGUUGGACAAUUUAAAUUUCAAAUAGUUUUUGAAUCUAAUUGACACUUGACAACAAUGCAAUUGUGUCAAACAACGUGUCAAAAAUCAGUGUACAAAUAUAAAAGUUCAAUUGGUAAGAACCUUGCUACAUGUACACUAUGGUGUACACACUUUAGUUUACACUUUGCGACGUGACAUUACCCUAUUGGAGAGCUUAAAUUUCAAACAGUUUUCUCAUCCAAUUAACACUUGAAAUACUGCAGGUGUCAAACCUCAUGUUAAAAAUCAUUGUAAAAAUAGCAAUGUUCAAUCGGUAAGAACCUUGCUACUUAUACACUAUGGUGUACAUACUUUAGUUUAUACUUUGCCAAGUGACAUUACCUUGUUAGACAGCAUAAUUUCACACAGUUUUCCCAUCCAUUUGACACUUGACAACAAUGCAAGUGUCAAAAAACUUGUUAAAAAUUAGUGUACAAAUAGCAAAGUUCAAUCGGUAUGAACCUUGCUACAUGUACACUUUAGUUUACAUUUUACCACGUGACAUUACCCUAUUGGGCAGUUUAUAUUUCAAACAAUUUUUUCAUCUAAUUGACACUGGACAACAAUGCAAGUGUCAAAGAACGUGUCAAAAAUCAGUGUACAAAUAGUAAAGUUCAAUCGGUAAGAACCUUGCUACAUGUACACUUUGGUGUAUACUUUAGUUUACACUUUGCCACGUGUCAUUACUCGGUUGGACAGUCUAACUUUUAAACAGUUUUCCCAUCGAAUUGGCACACAUCAACAAUGCAAGUGUCAAACAACGUGUCAAGAAUCAAUGUACAAAUAGCAAAGAUCAAUCAGUAAGAACCUUGAAGCAUGUACAAUAUGGUCUAAACUUUAGUUUAUACUUUGCCACGUGUCAUUACCCUGUUUGACAAGUUAAAUUUCAAAGAUUUUCUCAUCCAAUUGACACUCAUCGACAAUGCAAGUGUUAGACAACGUGUUAAAUAUCAUUGCACAAAUAGUAAAGUUCAAUCGGAAAGAACCUUGCUACAUGUACACUAUUGUGUACACACUUUAGUUCACACUUUACCAUGUGACAUUGCCCCCCUGUCGGACUAUUUAAAUUUCAAAUAGUUUUCCUAUCCAAUUGACAAUUGGCAACAAUACAAGUUUCAAACAACGUGUCAAAAAUCAGUGUACAAAUUAGAAAGAUCAAUCGGUAAGAACCUAGCUACAUGUACACUAUGGUGUACACUUUAGUUUAGACAUUGCCACGUGUCAUUACCUUGUUGGAGAGUUUAAAUUUCAAACACUUUUCCCAUCCAAUUGACACUGUCAACAAUGCAAGUGUUAAACGUGUCAAAAAUCAGUGUACAAAUAGCAAGGAUCAAUCGGUAAGAACCUUGCAACAUGUACACUAUGGUGUACACUUUGCCACGUGCCAUUACCCUAUUGGACAGUUUAAAUUUCAAAUGGUUUUCCCAUCCAAUUGACACUAGUCAACAAUGCAAGUGUCAAACAAUGUAUUAAAUAUCGGUGUACAAAUAGAAAAGUUCAAUCGGUAAGGAUCCACUUAAUAACAAUGCAUGUAUUAAAUAACGUGUCAUAAAUCGUUGUACAAAUAGCAAAUUUCAAUCAGUAAGAACGUUGCUGCAUGUACACUAUGGUGUACACUUUAGCUUACACUUUACCGCGUGACGUUACACUAUUGGACAGCUUAAAUUUCAAAUAGUUUUUCCAUCCAAUUGACACUAGACAACACUGCAAGUGCCAAACAUCGUGUCAAAAAUAAGUGUACAAAUAGCAAAGUUCAAUCGGUAAGAACCUUGCUAAAUGUACACUAUGGUGUACAGACUAUAGUUUACACUUUGCCAUGUGACAUUAUCCUAUUGAACAGAAUAAAUUUCACAUAGUUUUCCCACCCAAUUGACAUUUGAAAACAAUGCAAGUGUCAAACAACGUGUCAAAAAUUAGUGUAUAAAUAGCAAAGUUCAAUCGGUAUGAACCUUGCUACAUAUACACUUCCGUUUACACUUUACCACGUGACAAUACCCUGUAGGGCAGUUUAAAUUUCAAAAAUUUUCCCAUCUAAUUGACACUUGAAAACAAUGCAAGUGUCAAACAAUGUGUUAAAAAUCAGUGUGCAAAUAGCAAAGUUCAAUCGGUAAUAACCUUGCUACAUGUACACUAUGGUGUACACUUUAGUUUACACUUUGUCACGUGUCAUUACCCUAUUUGACAGUUUGAAUUUCAAAUAGUUUUUCCAUCCAACUGACACUCAUCAGCAAUGCAAGUGUCAAACAACGUGUCAAAAAUCAGUGUACAAAUGGCAAAGUUCAAUCGGGAAGAACCUUGCUACAUAUACACCAUGGUGUACACACUUUAGUUUACAUUUGCCACGUGUCAUUAACCUGUUGGACAGUUUAAAUUUCAAAUAGUUUUCCAAUCCAAUUGACACUUGAUAAUAAUGCAGGUGUCAAACAACGUGUAAAAAUAAGUGUACAAAUAUAAAAGUUCAGUCAGUAAGAACCUUGCAACAUGUACACUAUGGUGUACGCACUUUAGUUUACACUUUGCCACGUGACAUUAUCCUAUUGGACAACUUAAAUUUCAAAGGGUUUUCCCGUCCAAUUGACCUUUGACAACACUGCAAGUGUCAAACCUCGUGUAAAAAAUGAGUGUACAAAUAGCAAAGUACAAUCGGUAAGAACCUUGUAAGAUGUACACUAUGGUGUACACACUUUACUUUACACUUUACCAUGUGACAUUACCCUCUUAGACAGUGUAAAUUUCAGUCACUUUUCCCAUCUAAUUGACACUUGACAACAAUGCCAGUGUCAAACAAGUUGUCAAAAAUUAGUGUAUAAAUAGCAAAGUUCAAUCGGUAUGAACCUUCCUACAUUUACACUUUAGUUUACAUUUUACCACGUGACAUUACCCUAUUGGGCAGUUUAUAUUUCAAACAGUUUCUCCAUCUAAUUGACACUGGACAAUAAACGUUGUCUAGUGUCAAAGAACAUGUCAAAAAUCAGUGUACAAAUGGCAAAGUUCAAUCGGUAAGAACCAUGCUACAUGUACACUAUAGCGUACACUUUAGUUUACACUUUGCCACAUGUCAUUAACCUGUUGGACAGUCUAAAUUUUAAACAGUUUUUCCAUCAAAUUGGCACUUGUCAACAAUGCAAGUGUCAAACAACGUGUCAAAAAUCAGUGUACAAAUAGCAAAGAUCAAUCGGUAAGAACCUUGCAACAUGUACACUUUAGUUUACACUUUGCCAUGUGUCAUUACCCCGUUGGACAAUUUAAAUUUCAAAGAGUUUUCCCAUCCAAUUGACACUUGUCCACAAUGCAAGUGUCAAACAACGUGUUAAAUAUCAGUAUACAAAUACCAAAGUUCAAUCGGUAAGGACCUUGCUACAUGUACACUAUGGUGUACACACUUUAGUUCACACUUUACCAUGUGACAUUACCCCCCUGUUGGACUGUUUAAAUUUCAAAUAGUUUUCCAAUCCAAUUGACACUUGACAACAAUGCAAGUGUCAAAAAUCAGUGUACAAAUAGUAAAGAUCAAUUGGUAAGAACCUUGCUACAUGUACAAUAUGGUGUACACUUUAGUUUAGACUUUGCCACGUGUCAUUACACUAUUGGAGAGUUUAAAUUUCAAACACUUUUCCUAUCCAAUUGACACUCGUCAACAAUGCAAGUGUCAAACAAUGUGUCAAAAAUUAGUGUACAAAUAGCAAGGAUCAAUCGGUAAGAACCUUGCAACAUGUACACUAUCGUGUACCCUUUAGUGUAGACUUUGCCACGUGUCCUUAACCUGUUGGAAUGUUUAAAUUUCAAACAGUUUUCCCAUCCAAUUGACACUCGUCAACAAUGCAAGUCUCAAACAACGUGUUAAAUAUUGGAGUACAAAUAGAAAAGUUCAAAUGGUAAGGACCUUGCUACAUGUACACUACGGUGUACACACUUUAGUUUACACUUUGCCACGUGACAUUACCCUGUUGGACUGUAUAAAUUUGAAACAGUUUUCCAUCCAAUUGACACUUAACAACAAUGCAAUUAUCAAAUAACGUGUCAAAAACCGGUGUACAAAUAGCAAAGUUCAAUCGGUAAGAACGUUGCUACAUGUACACUAUGGUGUACACUUUAGUUUACACUUUACCAUGUGAUAUUACACUAUUGGACAACUUAAAUUUCAAAUAGUUUUCCCAUCCAAUUGACACUGACAACAUUGCAAGUGUCAAACAUUGUGUCACAAAUAAGUGUACAAACAGCAAAGUUCAAUUGGUACGAACCUUGCUACAUGUACACUAUGGUGUACACACUUUAGUUUACACUUUGCCACGUGACAUUACCCUAUUGUACAGAACAAAUUGCACAUAGUUUUCCCAUCCAACUGACACUUGACAACAAUGUAAGUGUCAAACAACGUAUCAAAAAUUAGUGUACAAGUAGCAAAGUUCAAUCGGUAUGAACCUUACUGCAUGUAUACUUUAGUUUACACUUUACCACGUGACAAUACCCUGUAGGGUACUUUUAAUUUCAAACAAUUUUCCCAUCUAAUUGACACUUGAAAAUAGUGCAAGUGUCAAACAAUGUGUCAAAAAUCAGUGUACAAAUAGCAAAGUUCAAUCGGUAAUAACCUUGCUACAUGUACAUAUGGUAUACACAUUAGUUUAUACUUUGUCACGUGUCAUUACCCUAUUUGACAGUUUAAAUUUCAAACUAUUUUCCCAUCCAAUUGACACUCGUCAAAAAUGCAAGUGUCGAACAUCAUGUCAAAAAUCAGUGUACAAAUGACAAAGUUCAAUCGGGAAGAACCUUGCUACAUGUACACUAUGGUGUACACACUUUAGUUUACACAUUGCCAUGUGUCAUUAACCUGUUGGACAGUUUAAAUUUCAAACAGUUUUCCAAUCCAAUUGACACAUGACAAUAAUGCAGGUGUCAAACAAAGUGUCAAAUAUAAGUGUACAAAUAUAAAAGUUCAUUCGGUAAGAACCUUGCUACAUGUACACUAUGGUGUACACACUUUAGUUUGCACUUUGCCACGUGACAUUAUCCUAUUGGACCGCUUAAAUUUCAAAUGGUUUUCCCGUCCAAUUGACCCUUGACAACACUGCAAGUGUCAAACCUCGUGUCAACAAUCAGUGUACAAGUAGCAAAGUACAAUCGUUAAGAACCUUGCAACAUGUACACCAUGAUGUACACACUUUAGUUUAUAUUUUACCACGUGACAUUAUCCUGUUAGACAGUGUAAAUUUCACGCCAUUUUCCCAUCCAAUUGACACUUGACAACAAUGCCAGUGUUAAACAACUUGUCAAAAAAUAGUGUACAAAUAGCAAAGUUCAAUCGGUAUGAAUCUUGCUACAUGUACAAUUUAGUUUACAUUUUACCACGUGACAUUACACUAUUGGGUAGCUUAUAUUUCAAACAGUUUCUCCAUCUAAUUGACACUGGACAACAAUCCAAGUGUCAAAGAACGUGUCAAAAAUCAGUGUCCAAAUAGCAAAGUUCAAUCGGUAAGAACCUUGCAACAUGUACACUAUGGUGUACACUUUAGUUUACACUUUGCCACGUGUCAUUACCCUAUUGGACAGUCUAAAUUUUAAACAGUUUUUCCAUCCAAUUGGCACUCGUCAAUAAUGCAAGUGUCAAACAAUGUGUCAAAAAUCAGUGUACAAAUAGCAAAGAUCAAUCAGUAAGAACCUCGCAACAUGUACACUAUGGUGUACACUUUAGUUUACACUUUGCCAUAUGCCAUUACCCUAUUGGACAAUUUAAAUUUCAAAGAGUUUUCCCAUCUAAUUGACACUUGUCCACAAUGCAAGUGUCAAACAACGUGUUAAAUAUCAGUGUACAAAUAGCAAAGUUCAAUCGGUAAGGACCAUGCUACAUGUACACUAUGGUGUACACACUUUAGUUCACACUUUACCAUGUGACAUUACCCCCCCCCCCCCCGUUGGACUGUUUAAAUUUCAAAUAGUUUUUCCAUCAAAUUGACACUUGACAACAAUGCAAGUGUCAAACAACGUGUCAAAAAUCAUUGUACAAAUAGCAAAGACCAAUUGGUAAGAACCCUGCUACAUGUACACUAUGGUUUACACUUUAGUUUAGACUUUGGCACGUGUCAUUACCCUGUUGGAGAGUUUAAAUUUCAAACACUUUUCCUAUCCAAUUGACACGCCUCAACAAUGUAAGUGUCAAACAACGUGUCAAAAAUUAGUGUACAAAUAGCGAGGAUCAAUCGGUAAGAAUCUUGUGAUAUGUACACUAUGGUGUACACUUUAGUGUAGACUUUGCCACGUGUCAUUACCCUGUUGGAUAGUUUAAAUUUCAAACAGUUUUCCAUCCAAUUGACACUCGUCAACAAUGCAAGUGUCAAACAACGUGUUAAAUAUUAGUGUACAAAUAGAAAAGUUCAAUCGGUAAAGACCAAGCUACAUUUACACUAUGGCGCACACACUUUAAUUUACACUUUGCCACGAGACAUUACCCUGUUGGACUAUAUAAAUUUCAAACAUUUUUCCCAUCCAAUUGACACUUAACAAUAAUGCAAGUAUCAAAUAACGUGUCAAAAAUCGGUGUACAAAUAGCAAAGUUCAAUCGGUAAGAACGUUGCUACCUGCACACUAUGGUCCACACUUUAGUUUACAGUUUACCACGUGACAUUACCCUGUUGGACAGUUUAUAUUUCAAAUAGUUUUCCCAUCUAAUUAACACUGGACAACAAUGCAAGUGUCAAAGAAUGUGUGAAAAAGUUGUGUACAAAUAGCAAAGUUCAAUCGAUAAGAACCUUGCUACAUGUACACUAUGGUGUACACUUUAGUUUACACUUUGCCACGUGUCAUUACCCUAUUGGACAAUCUAAAUUUUAAACAAUUUUUCCAUCCAAUUGGUACUCGUCAACAAUGCAAGUGUCAAAUAACGUGUUAAAAAUCAGUGUACAAAAAGCAAAGAUCAAUCGGUAAGAACCUUGCAACAUGUACACUAUAGUGUACAUUUUAGUUUACACUUUGCCAUGUGUCACUACCGUCUUGGACAAUUUAAAUUUCGAAGAGUUUUCCCAUCCAAUUGAAACUCAUCCAAAAUGCAAGUGUCAAACAACGUGUUAAAUAUCAGUGUACAAAUAGCAAAGUUCAAUCGGUAAGGACCUUGCUACAUGUACACUAUGGUGUGCACACUUUAGUUCACUCUUUACCACGUGACAUCACCCCCCUAUUGGACUGUUUAAAAUUCAAAUAUUUUUCCCAUCCAAUUGACCCUUGACAACAAUGCAAGUGUCAAACAACGUGCCAAAAAUCAGCGUACGAAUCGCAAAGUUCAAUCGAUAAGAACGUUGCUACAUGUACACUAUGGUGUAUACUUUAGUUUGCACUUUGCCACGUGAUACUACCCUAUUAGACAGCUUAAAUUUCAAAUAAUUUUUCCAUCCAAUUGACACUUGACAACACUGCAAGUGUCAAACAUCGUGUCAAAAAUAAGUGUACAAAUAGCAAAGUUCAAUCGGUAAGAACCUUGCUACAUGUACACUAUGGUGUACACACUUUAGUUUACACUUUACCACGUGACAUUACACUAUUGGAUAGUAUAAAUUUCACACAAUUUUUCCGUCCAAUUGACACUUGACAACAAUGCAAGUGUCAAACAACGUGUGAUAAAUCAGUGUACAAAUAGCAAAGUUAAAUCGGUAUGAACCUUGCUGCAUGUACACUUUAGUUUACACUUUGCCACGUGACAAUACCCUGUCAGGUAGUUUAAAUUUUAAACAAUUUUUCCAUCUAAUUGACACUUGAAAACAAUGCAAGUGUCAAACAACGUGUUAAAAAUUAGUGUACAAAUAGCAAAGUUCAAUCGGUAAUAACCUUACUAUAUGUACACUAUGGUGUACAUUUUAGUUUACAGUUUGCCACGUGUCAUUACCCUGUUUGACAGCUUAAAUUUGAAACAGUUUUCCCAUCCAAUUGACACUAGUCAGGAAUGCAAGUGUCAAACAACGUAUCAAAAAUCAGUGUAAAAAUGGCAAAGUUCAAUCGGCAAGAAUCUUGCUACAUGUACACUAUGGUCUACACACUUUAGUUUACACUUUGCCACAUGACUUACCCUCUUGGAUUGUGUAAAUUUCAAAUAGCUUUUCCAUCCAAUUGACACUUGACAACAUAGUAAGUGUCAAACAACGUGUCAAAAUCAGUGUACAAAUGGCAAAGUUCAAUCGGUAAGAACCUUGCUACACGUACACAAUGGUGUACACUUUAGUUUACACUUUGCCACUUGUCAUUACCCUGUUUGACAGUUUAAUUUACAAGCAGUUUUCCCAUUCAAUUGACACUUGACAAUAGUGUAAGUGUCAAACAACUUGUCAAAAAUCAGUGUACAAAUAGCAAAGUUCAAUCGGUAAGAACCUUGCUACAUGUACAAUAUGGUGUACACACUUUAGUUUACACCUUACCACGUGACAUUACCCUGUUGGGGAGUUUAAAUUCCAAACUAUUUUCCCAUCUAAUUGGCGUGUGACAGCAAUGCAAGUGUCAAACAACGUGUCAAAAAUCAACUUACAAAUAGCAAAGUUCAAUCGGUAAGAACUUUGCUAUAUGAACACUAUGGUGUAAACUUUAGUUUACAUUUUGCCACAAGUCAUUACCCUAUUGGGCAGUUUAAAUUUCAACUAGUUUUCGCUUCCAAUUGACACUUUGCAACAAUGCAAGUGUCAAACAACGUGUCAAAAAUCAGUGUACAAAGAGCAACGAUCAAUCGAUAAAAACCUUACAACAUGUACACUACGGUGUACACUUUAGUUUACACUUUGCCACGUAACAUUACCCUCUUGGACAAUUUAAAUUUCAAAUAGUUUUCCCAUCCAAUUGACAAUCGUCAACAAUGCAAGUGUCAAACAUCAGUGUACAAAUAGCAAAGUUCAAUCGGUAAGGACCUUGCUACAUGUACAAUACAGUGUACACACUUUAGUUUACCCUUUACCACGUGACAUUACCCUGUUUAACAGUAUAAAUUUCACACAGUUUUCCCAUCCAAUUGACACUUGACAACAAUACAAGUGUCAAACAACGUGUCAUAAAUCAGUGUACAAAUAGCAAAGUUCAAUCGGUAUGAACCUUGCUGCAUGUACACUUUAGUUUACACUUUGCCACGUGACAAUACCCUGUAGGGCAGUUUAAAUUUCAAACGAUUUCCCAUCUAAUUGAUACUUGAAAACAAUGCAAAUGUCAAACAACGUGUCAAAACUCAGUGUACAAAUAGCAAAGUUCAAUCGAUAAUAACUUUGCUACAUGUACACUAUAGUAUACACUUUAGUUUACACUUUGUCACAUGUCAUUACCCUGUUUGACAGUUUAAAUUUCAAACAGUUAUCCCAUCCAAUUGGCACUUGUCAACAAUGCAAGUUUCAAACAACGUGUCAAAAAUCAGUGUACAAAUGGCAAAGUUCAACCGGGAAGAACCUUGCUACAUGUACACUAUGGUGUAUAGACUUUAGUUUGCACUUUGCCAUGUGACAUUACCCUCUUGGACUGUGUAAAUUUCAAAUAGUUUUCCCAUCCAAUUGACACUUGACAAUAAUGCAAGUGUCAAACAUUGUGUCAAAAUCAGUGUACAAAUAGCAAAGUUCAAUCGGUAAGAAACUUGCUACAUGUACACAAUGGUGUACACUUUAGUUUACACUUUGCCACUUGUCAUUACCCUAUUUGACAGUUUAAUUUUCAAAUAGUUUUUCCAUUGAAUUAACAAUUGACAACAAUGCAAGUAUCAAACAAUUUGUCAAAAAUCAUUGUACAAAUAGCAAAGUUCAAUAGGUAAGAACCCUGCUACAUGUACACUAUGGUGUACACACAUUAGUUUACCCUUUGUCAUGUACCAUUACCCUAUUGGGCAGUAUAAAUUUCAAACAGUUUUCCUAUCCAAUCGACACUAGUCUACAAUGCAAGUAUUAAACAACGUACGAAAAUCAAUGUACAAAUAAGAAACUUAAAUCGGUAUGAACCUUGCUAUAUGUACACUUUAGUUUACACUUUACCACGUGACAUUACCCUGCUGGGCAGCUUAAAUUACAAACUAUUUUCCCAUCUAAUUGACACCUAACAGCAACGCUAGUGUUAAACGUGUCAAAAAUCAGUGUACAAAUAGCGACGAUCAAUCGGUAUGAGCCUUGCAACAUGUACACUACGGUGUACACAUUAGUUUACACUUUGCCACGUAUCAUUACCCUGUUGGAUAGUUUAAAUUUCAAAUAGUUUUCCCAUCCAAAUGACACUCAUCAACAAUGCAAGUGUCAAACAACGUGUCAAACAUCAGUGUAAAAAUAGAAAAGUUCAAUCGGUAAGGACGAUGAUACAUGUACAAUACGGUGUACACACUUUAGUUUACCCUUUGCCUCAUGACAUUACCCUGAUGGAUAGUAUAAAUUUCACACAGUUUUCCCAUCCAAUUGACACUUGACAAACAAUGCAAGUGUCACACAACGUGUCAAAAAUCAGUGUACAAAUAGCAAAGUUCAAUCGGUAUGAACCUUGCUGCAUGUACACUUUAGUUUACACUUUACCACGUGACAAUACCCUGUAGGGCAGUUUAAAUUUCAAACAAUUUUCCCAUCUAAUUGACACUUGAAAACAAUGCAAGUGUCAAACAACGUGUCAAAAAUUAGUGUACAAAUAGCAAAGUUCUAUCGACAAUAACCUUGCUACAUGUACACUAUAGUGUACACUUUAGUUUACACUUUGCCACGUGUCAUUACCCUAUUUGACAGCUUAAAUUUCAAAUAGUUUUCCCAUUAAAUUGACACUCGUCAGCAAUGCAAGUGUCAAACAACGUGUCAAAAAUCAGUGUACAAAUGGCAAAGUUCAAUCGGGCAGAAACUUGCUACAUGUACACUAUUGUGUACAGACUUUAGUUUACACUUUGUCACGUGACAUUACCCUCUUGGAUUGUGUAAAUUUCAAACAGUUUUCCCAUCCAAUUGACAGUUGACAACAAUGCAAGUGUUAAAAAACGUGUCAAAAUCAAUGUACAAAUGGCAAAGUUCAAUCGGUAAGAACCUUGCUAUAAGUACACAAUGGUGUACACUUCAGUUUACACUUUGCCACUUGUUAUUACCCUGUUUGACAGUUUAAUUUUUAAACAGUUUUCCCAUCCAAUUGACACUUGAGAACAAUGUAAGUAUCAAACAACUUGUCAAAAAUUAGUGUACAAAUAGCAAAGUUCAAUCAGUAAGAACCUUGCUACAAGUACACUAUGGCGUACACUUUAGUUCACACUUUGCCACGUGACAUUACUACAUGUAUACUAUGGUGUACACACUAUAGUUUCACUUUGCCACGUGCCAUUAAACUUCAAAUAGUUUUCCCAUCCAAUUGACACUAGUCAACAAUGCAAGUGUCAAACAACGUAUAAAAAUCAAUGCACAAAUAAGAAACUUAAAUCGGUAUGAACCUAGCUACAUGUACACUUUAGUUUACACUUUACCAUGUGACAUUACCCUAUUGGGCAGCUUAAAUUUCAAAUUGUUUUCCCAUCAAAUUGACACUUGACAGCAAUACUAGUGUCAAACAACGUGCCAAAAAUUAUUAUAAAAAUAGCAAAGUUCAAUCGGUAAGAACUUUACUACAUGAACACUAUGGUGUAAUCGUUAGUUUACACUUUACCACGUGACAAUACCCUGUAGGGUAGUUUAAAUUUCAAACAAUUUUCCCAUCUAAUUGACACUUGAAAACAAUGCAAGUGUCAAACAACAUGUCAAAAAUCAGCAUACAAAUAGCAUAGUUCUAUCAGUAAUAACAUUGCAACAUGUACACUAUAGUGUCCACUUUAGUUUACACUUUGCCACGUGUUAUUACCCUAUUUGACAGUUUAAAUUUCAAACAGUUUUUCCAUCCAAUUAACACUCGUCCGCAAUGUAAGUGUCAAUUAACGUGUCAAAAAUUAGUGUACAAAUGGCAAAGUUCAAUUGGGAAGAACUUUACUACAUGUACACUAUAGUGUACAGACUUUAGUUUACACUUUGCCACGUGACAUUACCCUCUUGGAUUGUGUAAAUUUCAAAUAGUUUUCCCAUCCAAUUGACACUGACAACAAUGCAAGUAUCAAACAACGUGUCAAAAAUUAGUGUACAAAUAGCAAAGUUCAAUAGGUAAGAACCUAGCUACAUGUACACUAUGGUGUACACACUUUAGUUUACACUUUGCCACAUGACAUUAUCCUAUUAGACAGUAUAAAUUUCACAUUUUUUUCCCAUCCAAUUGACACUUGACAACAAUGCAAGUGUCAAACAACUUGUCAAAAAUUAGUCUGCAAAUAACAAAAUUCAAUCGGUAAGAACCUUGCUACAUGUACACUAUUGUGUAAACUUUAAUUUACACCUUUCCACGAGACAUUACCCUGUUGGACAGUUUAAAUUUCAAAUAGUAUUCCCAUCCAACUAACACUUGACAAUAAUGGAUGUGUCAUACAACGUGUCAAAAAUAAGUGUACAAAUAGCAAAGUUCAAUCGGUAAGAACCUUGUGACACGUACACUAUAGUGUACACUUUAGUUUACACUUUACCACAUGACAUUACCCUGUUGGGCAGUUUAAAUUUCAAACAGUCUACCCAUCCAAUUGUCACUUGACAACGAUGAAAGCAUUGAACAACGUGUCAAAAAUCAAUAUACAAAUAGGAAAGUUCAAUCGGAAAGAACCUUGCGACAUGUACACUAUGGUGUAUACCUUAGUUUACAAUUUGCCACGUGACACAACCCUGCUACACAGUUUAAAUUUCAAACAGUUUUCCCAUCUAAUUGACAGCAACGCGAGUGUCAAACAAUGUGUCAAAAAUCAGUAUACAAAUAGCAAAGUUCAAUAUGUAAGAACCUUGCCACAUGUAUACUACGGCGUACACUUUAAUUUACACUUUGCCACGUGGCAUUAUCCUGUUGGACAGUUUAAAUUGUAAAUAGUUUUUCCAUCCAAUUGACACUUGACACAAUGCAAGUGUCAAACAGUGUGUCAAAAAUCAGUGUACAAAUAGCAAAGUUCGAUCUUUAAGAACCUUGCCACAUGUACAUUACGGCGUACACUUCAGUUUACACUUUGCCACGUGGCAUUAUCCUGUUGGAUAGUUUAAAUUUUGAAUAGUUUUCCCAUCCAAUUGACACUUGACAACAAUGCAAGUGUCCAACUACUUGAAAAAAAUCAGUGUACAAAUUGUAAAGUUCAAUCGGUAAGAACCUUGUGACAUGUACACUAUGGUGUACACUCUAGUUUACACUUUGCCAUGUGACACUACCCUACUGGACAGUUUAAAUUUCAAAAAGUUCUCCCAUCUAAUUGACACUUGACAACAAGGCAAGUGUCAAACAACGUGUCAAAAAUCAGUGUACAAAUAGCAAAUUUCAAUCGGUAAGGAUCUUGUAGAACCCAAAUAAUUCUAGACACCUUAGUGGCACUAAGACAUGAAUUUUGGAUGAAUAAAGUAUACUUCAGAUUUUUAGUCUCAUUUGAGACCCAUUUUCGACAUAGGAAACAUUCAAUUUGGAAACUAAUAUCUAAAUAAAAGUUGUAGUUCUUUGAGUUAUCUUUCCAACGUACUUUGAAUUACCUCAAUCGGAUAUCGAGAGAAGAAGUUAUGAUAGAAACACUGAAAGCUAUGCAGUGUCAACCGGACUACAACAGGCCGACCGAAACUGCCUGAAAUGAAAAUUCUCGUUUUUCUCUAGAAUUUAAAUAUUUAAUUUCAUCAAUUAUUUUCUCAAAGGGCCACCCACGUUUUUGGCAAUAAAAAUCCCACUAAAUUGAAGCAUUUAACCUCAAACUUAAAUGGUACCCAUGUUUUCUCUCUUAAAUGAAAUUUGACCCUUUAUUUGCUUUAAGUUAUGAGAUAUUUACCUAUAAAUAGAGACAUCAUUUAACUCAAUUUUCUCACACCAAAAGCAAGAGUUUUUACAUACUAAAGAAAGAGUUUCCAAGAGAGAAAAAGAGAGGGAGGAAAACUAUUUUUCCUAGAAGUUUAAGAAGUGUUUUCAAGUAUCAAUUCUCAACGGUUUUCAAACAUCCAAGGAAUGCAUUUCUUUCAACAUCCAAGUUUUAUCGAAGUUUUCAAUCCAAGUUUUCAAAGUUACAAAAGCAUAAAUCAAGGUAGGUAGAGGUGUAAUUGUUUAAUCGUGUUAAAUUAUAAGUUUCGAUUCAUGUUACUGUUUGUAUGUCAAAUGGUACUCCGGUACGGCAUAUCCCUCUAUGUUAAUGGUUGUAUGUCAAAUGGUACUCCGGUAUGGCAUACCCCUCUAUGUUGAAGAAAUGUUCGUAUGUCAAAUGGUGCCCUCAAGUACGGCAUACCCCUUCAUGUCAAAUGGUGCCUCCGGGUACGGCAUGUAUGAAAAGUUAUAAAGUUAAUGUUUUGAAAUGUAUAGUUUGAUCACGAAUGCACUUAUGACACCUAUUGAGUUUUUCAACUCACGGGUUUAAUCUCAUCUCUACAGAUUGAAGGAAUUCUACCUUGGGCAUGGAUGGAGGAGAAGAUGGAGAGUGAUGCAACGAGCCCAUGGAAAUUCGGUGAAUAAGUGAUUUGGAUAUAUUUUUAUGAAAUAUUUUCCAAUGUUAUUUCUUUAAAGUUUUUAAUAACGCAGAAUGCGAGAACAAGUUAUGUUUUCUUCAAAUAAAUUAUAUUUUGUUGUUUUGAAAAAUGAUUCAGUGUUUUUGGUUAAAGUAUUUGAAGUAUUGUUAUUUAAAUUAUUAUCCGAAGAUGUAAGCUUCCGCUAAAACGUAUACACGUGUUACUAAACCACCAGUUAAGCUAAGUAAAGUAAGUAGCGUUCUGGUCCACUAGGGGUCGGGGCAUUACAGCAUCGUAUUAGAGCAAUGAUUGGCCGGUUCUAUAGACCAAGUAUUUCUUUUUUUAAAAACAAAAGAAAAAUGAAAAGUUUAAGGUAUUCCAUGGCAUCGUGCAUCCAUCUAUCAAUCUCAUCCUAUGGCCCAGGUAUGUUCAUGUUUAAAGUUAAUGAUUAUGUUUAUGUUAUGAUGCUUUGAUAUGAUUUAGAGAUGUGUUAUUUAAAGAUAUUUAAUGGCCUUGGGUAAAAGCUAAGGGCUUAAAGGGAAUUGCAUGAUAUGAAAGUUUAAAUAUUUGCAUGCUUUCUUUAAGCAAAGAAAAAGUAUAAUGUAUGUGAAAAUGCAACAGAUAUGGCUCGUAGAACGGCUAGGGCAUAUAGAGAAGCAUUGAACCGUAGAAUUGCUAUUCAUUGCUAUGAAAACUAUGUAACUGAUCCGACCCGACCGCUUAGUGAACAUGUGUAUGACAUCUAUGAGAGAUGCAUGAUGACGGUUAAUGCUGGAAUGGAGAUCACGCAUAUUGAGGCCAUAAAUAACCUCACACGCUCCCUCCCACCUCAAUGGGGAGAUAUGAGAGUCACGAUUAGAGAUGAAAUGUUAGAAGGCAACCCAAACCUGUUCGAGUUUGAGAGGUAUUUUCAUGCCCUGAUUGAUUUGUGGGAUGAUGUAAUCCAUGAGGAGCUUGAGGAGGAACCUUUGGCUGAGGAAGAAGAUCUCGAAGAAGAACCCGAUGAUGAUUUAGAAAAUGAUCCUGAGCCUGAGCCUGAGCCACAAGUUAAGAUGGACAUAGAGUCCAAACCUGAGGCGGAAGACUCCUCUGAAGAUGAAGCUCCACCAAAGAAGAUCCGUAGAACUUAUAGGGAUUAGAUUUAAAUCCUUGUAAUAGCUUCCCUUAUGUCAAGAAAUAAAAUACUAUCUUCUUUGCUUUAGUAUUCGAAGAAUGAAACUAAUAAGAACCAUAUGUUUUGUCUAAAGGAAAUGGCCCGUGCAAACUAAAACUUGAUAAGAGACCUCCUUCGAGCAGUUCAAGACUUAGGCAGGCAAAAUCCGAACCAAGCUCAACCCCUACCACUAGCUCCUAAUGUUCCAAACCAUGAUUCAGUGGUCGAGCAAUUUCGAAGGCACAAGCCCCUACCUUCAACGGAGCAGCUGAUCCACUUGCAGUCGAGAAGUGGCUUCACAAGUUGGAGCGUAUAUUCCGAUUGAUAGGGUGCACAGACGCUCAGAAAGUCCAGUGUACUGAGUUCAUGUUCUCCGGUGAUGCAAGUCACUGGUGGGACUCAAUGUCAAGGACAAGGACCCCUGAGCAACAAGCAGAAUUGACUUGGGAGCAAUUCAAAGGGGAAGUAAUGGACAAGUACUUUCCCCUGUCCUUGAGGGAUCACAAAGAAAGUGAAUUCCUCCAACUCAAGCAAAAGACUAUGUCCCUGACUGAAUAUGAGAGGAAGUUUGAUCAACUUUCAAGAUAUGCUCCACAACUGGUGGAUACGAAGGAUAAGAAGGUACGAAGGUUUGAACAAGGACUGAACUCGGAUAUAAGCAUUAUACUUCUGUCCCAUCGCUUCACCACAUACCGUGAAAUGCUGGAAAGAGCUCAUGCUAUUUAGUACCAGAAGACUAGCGCCGAAUAACAUGGUCAACUGUUCAAUCAACCGGACAAUGGUAACAUGGAAAAGAGGAAAUGGAAUUGCUAGGACAAGGGAAAAGGCAAGUGGCAGAACAAGAAAGCUAAUGGCGGAGCCAAUGCCAGCAAAAGCAUUGUGUCGGUUAUUGCACCCUGUUCUAAGUGUGGAAGGACACAUCGUGGCGAGUGCUUACAAUGGAAAAAUGUUUGUUUCCGAUGUGGCAAGCCAGGACAUAUUAUUAGGGAUUUUCCCACACAUACCCAGAAGAAGGAUGAUAACAACGACCAGAACCAGAAAGGGAAAGCACGAGUUUUUGCAUUGACUCAAUAGGAUGCAGAGGAAAACUCUAAUGUCAUAGCAGGUACUCUACUGAUAGCCAAUACACCUGUUUAUGUAUUGUUUGAUUCAAGAGCUACACACUCCUUUGCUUCAACAACUUUUAUGGCUAAAUCUAGUAUUACCUGUGAUAAGUCGGAAGGUACAUUAGAAGUUAGUAUUCCUUCGGGCAACCCUUUGAAUACUGAUAGAAUAGACAAGUUAGUAAGUAUUGAAGUUGAGGGAAAACUAAUGGAACCGAACCUAUACAUGAUAGAAAUGAAGGAUUUUAAUGUAAUACUAGGCAUGGAUUGAUUAGGUUGUAAUUACGCCACCAUCCAAUGUAAGGAAAUGGAAGUAUCAUUUCAGAAACCAGGAGAGGAACCAUUUUCGUUCCUUGGAAUGAAGACAAAACCCCUUAUUCGACUAGUAUCGGCUUUAUAAGCUGAGAAGAUGUUGAGAAAACAAACAUGUCAAGGAUAUCUAGCAAGUAUCUCAGGAGGGAAAUAAGAGACGAUAAGGGUUGAAGAUGUACCAGUAGUACGAGAAUUCAUAGAUGUGUUUCCAGAAGAUCUAUCUGGUAUUCUUCCCGAUAGAUAAGUGGAAUUCACCAUAGACCUAAUUCCCGAGGUGGCACCAGUAUCUAAGGUCCCAUACCGAAUGGCCCCAAAGGAACUACAAGAAUUAAAGAAGCAGUUGCAAGAACUCCUAGAGAUGUACUUCAUACGACCAAGCGUAUCUCCAUGGGGUGUGUCGGUGUUGUUUGUAAAAAAGAAAGAUGGAAGCAUGAGGAUGUACAUCGAUUAUAGGGAGAUAAAUCGAUUAACCAUCAGGAAUAAGUACCCACUCCCGAGGAUCGAGGAUCUGUUAGAUCAACUGAAAGGAGCUAAGGUGUUUUCCAAGAUCAACUUAUGAUCGGGAUACCAUCAACUGAAAGUAGAGACAAAGGAUAUACCUAAGACAGCUUUUAGAACUCGAUAUGGACACUAAGAGUUUAUGGUGAUGCUAUUUGGGCUAACCAAUGCACCUGCAGUGUUCAUGGACCUAAUGAAUCGAAUGUUUCAUCAAUACUUGGAUAAGUUUGUCAUAGUCUUCAUCGAUGACAUUCUGAUAUAUUCCAAGAGUAAGGAGCAACAUGAAGAGCACUUGAGAAUAGCCUUAGAGGUAUUACGGAAGGAGAAGCUGUAUGCCAAAUUCAAGAAGUGUGAGUUAUGGCUUGAACGAGUUGGAUUUCUUGGACAUGUAGUUACCGCCCAAGGGAUUAAAGUAGAUCCAGCAAAAGUAGAAGCAGUAACCAACUGGAAAACACCAACAAAUGCUGGCGAAGUACGGAGUUUUCUAGGAUUGGCUGGAUAUUAUAGAAGAUUCAUAGAAGAAUUCUCCAAAAUAGCUGGACCAAUGAUGCAGCUUACAAGGAAGGGAGUAAAAUUCCAAUGGACGGAAAAAUGCAAACAAAGUUUCCAAGAACUUAAGUUGAAGUUGAUAUCAGCAACUGUAUUAACAAUACCUGAAGGUACGGAAGGGUUUGUUAUAUACAGCGAUGCAUCCAAGUGAGGAUUGGGAUGUGUACUAAUGCAGAAUGGAAAAGUGAUAGCCUAUGCUUCAAGACAAUUGAAGAAACAUGAGCAGAACUACCCGACGCAUGAUUCAGAACUUGCAGUGGUAGUACACGCUUUGAAGAUAUGGCGACACUACUUAUAUGGACGGAAGUGUGAUAUCUACACAGAUCACAAAAGUCUCAAGUAUUUCUUCACACAGAAGGAAUUGAAUAUGCGACAAAGACGCUCUAAGUAGAAAAUCACUACCAUCCGGGUAAGGCUAAUGUUUUGGCCGACGCUCUAAGUAGAAAAUCAAUUGACGUCACUACCCACCUCUCAAGUGAAGUUAGUCAAGGACUUGGAAAAGUUGCAGAUCAAAGUGGUUACCACACCAGGACAAGUCACUGCUUGUCUAGCAGCUUUAAUAAUUCGACCUACUCUUAGAGAUCGAAUUAUAGAAGCAAAAAACAAAGGCUCAUUUUUGCAGAAGAUUAAGAACGAAGUUGGUACCGAUAAGAAAAAGGACUUUGGAGUAGCUGAGGAUCAGGCACUGAUAUUUAGAGGAAGAAUUUGCAUGCCUAAGGAUGAAGCCUUGAGAAAAGAGAUAUUAAAAGAAGCUCAUUCCACCCCGUACACAGCACAUCCCGGUGGUACGAAAAUGUAUCGAGAUCUUCGAGAUACAUUUUGGUGGAGAAAUAUGAAAAGAAGUAUAGGGCUGUACGUGCAGAAGUGUAUGGUAUGUCAACAGGUUAAGGCAAAACACUAAAAACUAGCUAGACUGUUAAAUCCACUAGAUAUACCUGAAUGGAAAUGGGAAAAUAUCAUGAUGGACUUUGUGGUUGGAUUCCCGAAAUGAGCAAGAGGAAAUAAUGCUAUAUGGGUAGUAGUAGAUCGACUAACGAAGUCAGCUCAUUUUCUUCCAGUGAAAAUGACAUUCAGUUUAGACCAAUUGGCAUAGUUGUACAUUAAAGAGGUUGUGAGAUUACAUAGUGUACCUGUAUCCAUUGUGUCUGACAGAGACCCAAGGUUCAUGUCCAAAUUUUGGAAAAAUCUACAAGGAGCUAUGGGAAUGAAGCUGAACUUUAAUAUAGCAUAUCACCCUCAGUCCGAUGGUCAGUCUGAAAGGACCAUCCAAACUUUGGAAGACAUGCUGAGAACUUGUGUUUUGGAUCUAGGAGGUAAUUGGGAGUCAUACUUACCUCUAGUAGAGUUCGCUUAUAAUAACAGUUUCAAAGCAACAAUUGGAAUGGCACCAUAUGAAGCUCUCUAUGGUAGUAGAUGUAGAUCCCCUGUUCAUUGGGACGAAGUCGAAGAGAAGAGAGUUUUAGGACCAGAAAUAGUUGAAAGGACGGUUGAGGUAAUCGAUAAGAUCCGUGCAAGAAUAAAGGCAGCACAGGAUCGACAAAAGAGCUAUGUAGAUAUGAGGAAGAAGGAUUUAGAAUUCCAAGUUGGGGAUAAAGUGUUUCUGAAAGUAGCACCGAUGAAAGGUGUACUUAGAUUUGGAAAGAAAGGCAAGCUACGACCCCAAUAUAUCGGACCUUUCAAGAUACUUGAUAGAGUCAGAAAUGUGGCUUACCGACUAGCUUUGCCACCUGAAUUAUCGACAGUGUACAAUGUGUUCCAUAUAUCGAUGAUAAAGUGGUAUGUACAUGAUCCUAAUUAUGUAGUUAGUUAUCAAACCUUGGAGGUACAGAAAGAUUUAUCGUACGAGGAACUACCAAUCAAGAUAUUGGAUCGAAAAGUGCAUAAACUAAGGAAUAAGAGAUUCAGCUGGUUAAGAUACAGUGGAAUCAUCACGGAGUAGAAGAAGCUACUUGGGAAAAGAAGAAGAAGCCAAAGAUAAGUAUCCAUCACUAUUCGCCCAAUCAGAAGGUAAAUUUCGAGGAUGAAAUUUUAAUUAAGGUGUGGGGGAUGUAGAACCCCAAAUAAUUCUAGACACCUUAGUGGUACUAAGACAUGAAUAUUGGAUGACUAAAGUAUACUUCAGAUUUUUAGUUUCAUUUGAGACCCAUUUUAGACAUAGGAAACAUUCGAUUUGAAAAAUGAUAUCUAAAUAAAAGCUGUAGUUCUUUAAGUUAGCUUUCUAACUCACUUUGAAUUACCUCAAUCGAAUAUUGGGACAAGAAGUUAUGAUAGAAAUACUAAAGGCUGUGCAAUGUCUACCGGACUACAACCCGUCGACCGAAACUCCCUGAAAUAAAAAUUCUCGUUUUUCUCUAGAAUUUAAAUUUUUAUUUUCAUCAAUUAUUUUCUCAAAGGGCCACCCACAUUUUUGACAAUAAAAAUCCCACUAAAUUGAAGCAUUUAACCUCAAACUUAAAUGGUAACCAUGUUUUCUUUCUUAAAUGAAAUUUGACUAUUCAUUUGCUUUAAGUUGUGGGAUAUUUACCUAUAAAUAGGGACCUCAUUUAACUCAUUUUUCUCACACCAAAAGCAAGAGCUUUUACAUACUAAAGAAAGAGUUUCCAAGAGAGAAAAAGAGAGGGAUGAAAACUAUUUUUCCUAGAAGUUUAAGAAGUGUUUUCAAGCAUCAAUUCUCAACGGUUUUCAAACAUCCAAGGAGUGCAUUUCUUUCAAUGUCCAAGUUUCAUCGAAGUUUUCAAAGUUUCAAAAGCAUUAAUCAAGGUAGGUAGAGGUGCAAUUGUUUAAUCGUGUUAAGUUAUGAGUUUCGAUUCAUGUUAAUGUUUGUAUGUCAAAUGGUACUCCGGUACGGCAUAUCCCUCUAUGUUAAUGGUUGUAUGUCAAAUGAUACUCCGGUAUGGCAUACCCCUCUAUGUUGAAGAAAUGUUCGUAUGUCAAAUGGUGCCCUCGGGUAUGGCAUACCCCUUCAUGUCAAAUGGUGCCUCCGGGUACGUCAUGUAUGAAAAGUUAUAAAGUAAAUGUUUUGAAAUGUAUAGUUUGAUCACGAAUGCACCUACGACACCUAUUGAGUUUUUCAACUCACGGUUUAAUCCCAUCUCUACAAAUUGAAGGAAUUCCACCUCGGGCAUGGAUGGAUGAGAAGAUGGAUAGUGAUGCAACGAGCCCAUGGAAAUCUAGUGAAUAAGUGAUUUGGAUUUAUUUUUAUGAAAUGUUUUCCAAUGUUAUUUCUUUAAAGUUUUGAAUAACGUAGAAUGCGAGCACAAGUUAUGUUUUCUUCAAAUAAAUUAAAUUUUAUUAUUUUGAAAAAUGAUUCUGUAUUUUUGGUUAAAGUAUUUGAAGUAUUUUUAUUUAAAUUAUUAUCCGAAGAUGUAAGCUUCCACUAAAAUGUAUACACUUGUUACUAAACCACCGGUUAAGCUAAGUAAAGAAGGUAGCGUUCCGGUCCACUAGGGGCGUUACAGAUCUUGCUACAUGUACACUAUGGUGUACAGUUUAGUUUACAUUUUUCCACAUAACAUUACCCUAUUGGACAGUUUGAAUUUCAAACAGUUUUCCCAUCCAAUUGACACUUGACAACAAUGCAAUGGUCAAACAACGUGUCUAAAAUCAAUGUACAAAUAACGAAGUCCAAUCGGUAAGAACCUUGCUACAUGUACACUAUGGUGUACACUUUAAUUUACACCUUGCCACGUGACAUUACCUUGUCCGACAGUUUAAAUUUCAAAUAGUUUUCCCAUCCAAUUAACACUUGACAACAAUGCAAGUGUCAAACAACUUGUCAAAAAUCGGUGUACAAAUAGCGAAGUUCAAUCGGUAAGAACCUUGUGACAUUUACACUGCCUUGCGACAUUUACACUGUAGUGUACCCUUUAGUUUACACUUUACCACGUGACACUGCCCUACUGGACUGUUUAAAUUUCAAAAAGCUUUCCCAUCUAACUGACACUUGACAAUAAGGCGAGUAUCAAACAACGUUUCAAAAAUCAGUGUACAAAUAGCAAAGUUCAAUCGGUAAGAACCUUGCCACAUGUAUACUAUGGUGUACACUUUAAUUUACACUUUACCACGUAACAUUACCCUCUCGGACAUUUUAAAUUUCAAACAUUUUUCCCAUCUAAUUGACACCUGACAACAAUGCAAGUGCCAAACAAUGAGUCAAAAAUCAAUGUAUAAAUAGCAAACUUCAAUCGGUAAGAACCUUGCCACAUGUACACUAUGGCGUACACUUUAGUUUACACUUUACUAGGUGUCAUCACCCUGUUGGAUAGUUUAAAUUUCAAAACAAUUUCCCAUCCAAUUAACACUUGACAACAAUCCAAAUGUCAAACAACGUUUCAAAAAUUAGUGUACAAAUAGCAAAGUUCAUUCAGUAAAAACCUUGCUACAUGUACACUAUGGUGUACACUUUAGUUUACACUUUGCCCCGUGACAUUACUCUAUUGGACAAUUUAAAUUUCAAUUAGUUUUCCAUCCAAUAGACCCUUGAGAACAAUAAAGGUAUCAAAUAACUUGUCGAAAAUCUGUGUACGAAUAGCAAAGUUCAAUCGGUAAGGACCUUGCUACACGUACACUAUGGUGUACACUUUAGUUUACUUUUUGCCACGUGACAUUACCCUAUUGGACAGUUUAAAUUUCAAACAGUUUUUCCAUCCAAUUGACACUUGACAACAAUGCAAUUGUCAAACAACAUGAGAAAAAUCAAUGUACAAAUAGCAAAGUUCAAUCGGCAAGAACCUUGUUACAUGUGCACUAUGGUCCACUUUAAUUUACACUUUGCCACGUGACAUUAUCCUGUUGGACAGUUUAAAUUGCAAAUAGUUUUCCCAUCCAAUUGACACUUGACAACAACUGUGCAAUUGUAAAAGUUGUCAAAAAUUAGUGUGCAAAUAGCGAAGUUCAAUCAGUAAGAACCUUGCGACAUGUACACCACGGUGUACACUUUAGUUUACAAUUUUCCACGUGACACUACCCAGCUGGACAAUUUAAAUUUCAAACAAUUUUCCCAUCUAAUUAACACUUGGCAACAAUGCAAGUGUCAAACAACGUGUCAAAAAUCAGUGUACAAAUAGUAAAUUUCAAUCGGUAAGAACCUUGCUACAUGUACAAGAUGGUGCAAACUUUAAUUUUACACUUUGCCUCAUGACAUUAUCCUGCUGGACAGUUUAAAUUUCAAACAGUUUUCCCAUCCAAUUGACACUUAAAAACAAUGCAAGUGUCAAACGACGUAUCAAAAAUCAGUGUACGAAUAGCAAAGUUCAAUCGGUAAGAACCUUGCUAUAUGUACACUAUGGUACACUUUAAUUUUCACUUUGCCACAUGACAUUAUCCUGUUGGACAGUUUAAAUUUCAAAUAGUUUUCCCAUCCAAUUGACACUUGACAACAAUGCAAGUGUCAAAGGUAUCAUAAAUCGGUUUACAAAUAGCAAAGUUCAAUCGGUAAGAACCUUGCGACAUGUAUACUAUGGUUUACACUUUAGUUUACACUUUGUCACGUGACACUCCCUGCUGGAGAGUUUAAAUUUCAAACAGUUUUCCCAUCCAAUUGACACUUGACAACAAUGUAAGUGUCAAACAACGUGUCAAAAAUCAGAGUACAAAUAGCAAAGUUCAAUCGUUAAGGACCUUGUUAUUUGUACACUAUAGUGUACACUUUAAAUUACACUUUUCCACAUGACAUUACCCGAUUGGACAGUUUAAAUUUCAAAUAGUUUUCCAAUCCAAUUGACACUUGACAAUGAUGCAUGCGCAGAACAACGUGUCAAAAAAUAGUAAACAAAAAGAAAAGUUCAGUUGAUAAGAACCUUGCUGAUGCGAACCCCGUAGCAAUGGAAACUACGAAACCCACAACGUGAUUGAUGCGGAACCCAAGAGCGCCAAUACUAACCUGGUUUUGGAUCUUGAACCCCAAGAAUUGAACCAAAAAACCCUAUAUUAGCAAAGCACCUAAAACCCCUUGAUUACAAUUAAAAGAACCCACAAUCCGAUUGAUUAGAACGCCGCAAGAAGUUGAAUCUUGAUAAGUUCCAAGAUUGUAACGCCACAAGAAGUUGAAUGUUGAUAAGUUCCAAGAUUGUUCAAGAAGAACAAGAAAUUGAAAGAACAAUUCUCUCUCUAUAAUAUUAAGCAAAAGUCAAAAGUUGUUACAAUGAAAAGUAUUCUCCUAUUUAUACUAAAGAGUAAAAAACGUCCAAAAUCCAUCAAAUUAUGGUAAUAAUUUGAUUUCAUAAGAAUUCUAUUGAAACUAGGAAAUUCGGCCAAAAUUAGAAAAUUCGCCAAUUUUUUUGGCUUAUGCAGUCGCAUGGUGUAAUUCCAUGUAGUCGCAUGGUUCAACAAGAAAUGCAAUAUUUUUUUUCGGUAUGCCACUGUGCGGCCGCAUGAUGUUUUGCCUGUGAGGCCGCACAAGCUUAUUUUCAACCUCCGAUUUCAUCGCUUGAUAACAAAUUGAUCCAAGUUGAUUCGGCCUUCGACCCGAACAUGAAAGUUGCUCCAUUUUGAGUCCCGAACAUGGUUCCAUCAAUGGUUUCUUGAACGAGCAAUCCCAUCGCUUGUUUCACUUACUUUGCCCUUGAUCGCGUCAUUGGUCCACCAUCGACUAUCAACGGGUCUUGUCUCGCACUUGCCUUCGUCGGGCUCGACUGCUGGAUCAUAUUAUCCCCUCCCUCUUCAAAAGGAUUCGUCCUAGAAUCUGAACAUGUAUCAAACAGAGAGAGGUCAGAUACAUUAAAAAUAGCCGAAACAUUGUACUCACCUGGUAAAUCCAAUUUGUAUGCAUUGUCAUUGAUCCUUUCGAUGAUUUGAAACGGUCCAUCGCCUCCUGGUUGCAAUUUUGACUUCCUCUGUUCUGGAAAAUGCUCUUUUCUGAAAUACACCCAGACCCAAUCUCCAAGCUCAAAUGUAACGCAUCUUCUUCCUUGAUUUGCUUUUGAUGCAAUCAGCUUUCCUUUCUCUUCGAUCUGCAUCCUGACCUUUUCAUGGAGUGUUUUCACAAUCUCAGCUUUUCGUUUCCCAUCCAAGCUACCUCGUUCAUGCAUAGGCAAAGGUAUUAAAUCCAUAGGUGUUAGUAGAUUAAAACCAUAAACAAUUUCAAAAGGAGAAAACGAAGUAGUAGAAUGUGUAGCUCGAUUAUAUGCAAACUCUAUAAACGGUAAACACUCUUCCCAUGAUUUCAGAUUUUUAUUGAUCACUGUCCUAAGUAGUUGAGUCAUAGUUCGAUUAACUACCUCAGUUUGUCCAUCUAUUUGUGGGUGACAAGCUGUAGAAAAUAAUAACUUAGCUCCUAACUUACUCCACAGAACAUGCCAAAAAUGACUCAAAAACUUCACGUUCCUAUCAGACACUAUACUUUUAAGUACUCCAUGUAAACGUACUAUUUCCCUAAAGAAUAAGUCUGCAAUAUUAGUAGUAUCGUCAGUUUUAUGACAUGGUAUGAAGUGCCCCAUCUUACUAAACCUAUCGACCACUACAAAUAUUGAAUCCCGGCCCUUUUUGUCCUAGGCAAACCUAACACAAAGCCCAUAGAUAUGUCUACCCAAGGUUCACUAGGUACAGACAAAGGAGUAUACAAACCAUGGGGUUGAACCUUAGACUUAGCCUUUUUACAAGUUAUGCACUUUCCACAUAUUUGUUCUACGUCAUGUCGUGUUUUAGGCCAAUAAAAAUGUUUCCCUAACAUGUCUAAAGUCUUUUGAACCCCGAAGUGUCCCAUUAAACCAACCCCAUGUGCUUCCCUUACCAAUAAUUCAUGCAAAGAACAAUUAGGAAUGCACAACUUAUCUUCCCUAAACAAAUAUCCUUAAUGCCUAUAGAAUUUAUCAAAUACACCUUUGUCACAUGAAGAUAAAUACUAGAAAAAUCAUAAUUAGAUUCAUACAUGCCCUUAAUAUGCUCGAAACCAAGUAAUUUAGUACUUAAUGAAUUUAAAAGCACGUACUUUCAAGACAACGCAUUAGCAACUAUAUUUUCGUUACCUUGUUUGUACUUGACGACGUAGGGAAAUAUCUUGAUAAACUCCACCCAUCUCGCGUGUCUUUUGUUCAACUUACCUUGACCUCACAAAUGCUUUAAAGAUUCAUGAUCGGUGUGUAUCACGAAUUCCUUUGGCCAUAAGUAGUGCUGCCAAGUCUCCAAUGCUCGAACAAGUGAAUACAUCUCCUUGUCAUAUGUCGGAUAAUUCAAUGUUGCCCCACUCAACUUUUUGCUAAAGUAAGCAAUAGGUCUCCUUUCUUGCAUUAACACUGCUCCUAUACAUAUUCCUGAUGCAUCACACUCAACUUUGAAUGUUUUAUCAAAAUUUGGUAAUGCCAAAACAGGUACUUUACAUAGCUUAUCCUUAAUUGUGUUAAAUAAAAUUUCUUGAGAUUCUCCCCAAUGGAAACCUACACUCUUCUUUACUAUUUCAGUCAACGGUGUGGUGAUGGUGCUAAAAUUUCUUAAAAAUCGCCUAUAAAAACUAGCCAAUCCAUGAAAACUCCUAACUUCAGUUAUGGUCUUAGGUGUUGGCCAUUAUUUUAUAGCUUUUAUCUUUUCUUCAUCGACUUCCAUCCCAUUAGCACUAACCACAAAUCCUAGGAAAACAACUCUAUCCAUGCAAAAUGUGCCCUUUUUGAAAUUAGCAUAUAGUUGUUCCUUUCGCAACACAACAAGCACACAAUUUAAAUGUUCUAAAUGCUCAUCUAGGUUUUUGCUAUAGAUUAUAGAUUAAGAUGUCAUCAAAAUAAACUACAACAAAUUUCCCAAUAAAAGCACGCAAAACAUGGUUCAUUAAACGCAUAAAAGUGCUCGGUGCAUUAGUGAGUCCAAACGGCAUAACUAACCAUUCAUACAAUCCAUACUUAGUCUUAAACGCCGUUUUCCAUUCAUCACCCUCCCGCAUGCGAAUUUGAUGAUACCCACUCUUAAGAUCAAUCCUACUAAAAAUGCAAGCACCAUGCAACUCAUCAAGCAUAUCAUCUAGCCUAGGUAUUGGGUGACGAUACUUUACCGUGAUAUUGUUGAUAGCUCGGCAAUCCAAAUACAUUCUCCAAGUCCCAUCCUUCUUAGGCACUAGCAAAAUAGGUACAGUACAUGGACUCAUGCUCUCCCUAACAUAACCUUUGCUCAUCAACUCCUCUACUUGCUUUUGAAGCUCCUUCGUCUCUUCGGGAUUGCUUCGGUAAGCUGGUCGAUUCGGUAUGACAGCUCCGAGUACAAAGUCAAUCUGGUGCUCGAUACCUCUAAUUGGUGGCAAUCCACUUGGCAUCUCCUCAGGAAACACAUCGUCGAACUCCUGCAAUAAAGACUUAACCAAACUAGGGAGGGAUAUGUUAGAAUCCUAAAAAUUGAGGAGGGACUCCUUGUUCACUAACAAUAUCAUUUGCCUAUUAUCUCUCAUAGCCUCUUUCAACUCACUCUCUUUUGCAUAGAAGUUGACCUUUGGCUUUUCUCUCUGCUCAACUGACUCUUUUUCUCUCCUCUCAACUGACUCCUUUUCUCUCCGCUCAUGUGGCUUCUCUCUCUUUUCUCCACUCUCAGCCACCUCACUAUUUUCUCUCUUAUUGAUGGUUUCACUAUUGCCUCUCCUUUUUCCUGACCCUCUUACUCUCUUCUUCCUUACUUUUCAGCUUGAUUUGAUCUCCAUACACUUGUGCCGGUGUUAAUGGUACAAGAGUAAUAGUCUUUCCAUCCUUGACAAAGCUAUAACGAUUCCUAUAUCCAUCAUGUGUGACCCUUCUAUCAUAUUGCUAUGGUCUUCCUAACAAGAUAUAACCCACAUGCAUAGGCACCACUUCACAUACUACUUUGUCGCUAUAACUCCCAAUUGAGAAAUUAAUUAAAACUCUUUUAUUCACCCUAACUUCCCCACUUUCAUUCAACCAUUGUAACUUAUAAGGCCUAGGGUGUCUUAACAUACUAGUCUUAAUUUCUCAACUAAAGUUGUGCUAGCUACAUUCGUGCAACUCCCACCAUCAAUAAUCAUACUACAUACCUUAUCGUUCACGUAACGUGUGUGGAAUAUAUUUUCUUGCUGUUACUUCGAAUCAUCCACUUUGACUUGAGUGUUAAGAGCUCUCCUUGACACCAAAGAUUCCCCAACAUCAAACUCCAAUUUUUCUUCUUCUUCAACAUUCUCCAAUGCAAGCAUGUCCUCAAACUCUCCUUCACUUUCACUCACCACCUCUCCAUUAUCCAACAAAACCAUUACCCGUUUAUUUAGGCAUUGAGAAGCAAUGUGCCCUGACCCCAAGCAUCUGAAACACUUGAUGUCUCGAUUCCUUGAUGGUUGUGAAUUUGUUUUGGGUGCUGUUUUGCUAGCACUUUCUUCUUUCCCUUUCUGCCACUCAUUCCUACCUAUAGGUAUAGCUUUAUCACCUUUGUUGUUGUUGUUCCACCCUGGCUUCCAAGAUGGAUUAACACUCGAAGUUCGUAACGGCUGCCUAGCUGCCCCUUUCCUCUUCAACUAUCUCUCUACCUUCAUAGCCACAUGCAACAUGUCUUCCAACUCCGCAUAAUGUUGCAACUCCACUACAUUGGCAAUUUCCCUAUUCAACCCAUUCAAGAAUAGUGCCAUGGUAGCCUCCCGAUCCUCCACCACAUUGGCCCUAAUCAUGAGUAUUUCCUUUAUCAUGAGUUAUUUGAUACCUUUAUUCAAGAAUCGUGCCAUGGUAUCCUCCCGAUCCUCCUUAUGAUAGUCCUCUACCCUUUUCGACCCUUGAUAUAGACCUUGCAGUUUUUGAUGGAUCUCUCGGUAUUAGUGGCUAGGAACAAACCUCUUUCUCAUCAAUGACUUCAAUUCCUCCCAAGUGCUGAUUGGUCUUCCCCACUCCUACGUUGUGAAGUAAUCACUUGAUCCCACCAUGAAAUUGCAUAGUCACUGAACUCCAAAACUGCUAACUUCACCUUUUUCUCCUCUGAGUAGUUAUAACACUCGAAGAUCAUUUCAACCUUCCUUUCCCACUCCAAGUAUGCCUCAGGAUCACUCCUUCCUUUGAAUGAAGGAACUGUCAUUUUUAUAUUUCCCAAAUUUCCAUCCAACUCCUCCCCGCGAUCAUUUGGACCCCGUCUGUCGAACCUAUCGCCUCUAUUCCUCAUCCUUCCCAUCUCAACACCAUGAAAUUCAUCUUCGCCCAUGUCACUCCCAUAUCCAUACUCCUCUCACCGUUCCCUCCUAGGCUCCCAUCUAUCCGGUCCUCUGGCAUUGGAUAUAUCCACUCGAUGCCCCCGACUAAGAUUAGCCACCGAUGUAUCUAAUCUAUUCAUCCAAGCCUCCUGCUUCUCCAACAUAUCUCUCACAUCUCCAAACGCCCUCUCAAACCUCUGCACCAAAUCCUCUGAUGCAUUGCUAUUAUUGCCUUGUCGGCUUGAAUUUGAUUUGGCCCUUUCUGACAUCCUAACACUAAAGAUUUUUAUUUUACUGCCCCACCAAAAG
RNAcentral lists this long non-coding RNA (84677 nucleotides) under Olea europaea (common olive). RNAcentral's name for it is "long non-coding RNA (OEUR_LNC015356)". The record is from RNAcentral. Lineage: Eukaryota; Viridiplantae; Streptophyta; Magnoliopsida; Lamiales; Oleaceae.